UCCUGUACAACUAGUUACAAUCAUGACACAAAUUAUCAUGGGUCGAUUGGUCUUUUCCUCUUUAAGUCGGUGCAGCCCUUCGUCUCAAGGCAUGUCGCUAUGCCGAAGCUCCUUGGAUGGUAGCUUCGGCGCGUACCGUCGCACUAUGUUUGCUUCUAUGCUUAUCUUUCGAAGGUGUUUCUUCUUAAAGGACCUUCGGCGACGAAGCAGACCCCCAACAGUAGCCCCUUCGCGGUGCUAGAUCGUUUUUCGUAAUGAGCUUGGUCCGUGAAAAAUCUCUAAGGCUUCGGAAUGCCGAAGGUUCGAAAAACACCUUCCCUGAGCUCGUUGUUGAGAAACGAUUAAAAUAUUCCGAGCGCGAUGUGGCCCACUGUGGGGGACAGAUAUCCCCCGUGUCCACUAGAAGGCAAGAAGGCCUCGCGAAAGGCCUCAGGCCCAUUAUGUCGCAAGGCCAUCCCUUCGUGGGCCAGGAGAGGAAUGUCUAGCAGAAUGGAUCAGUAUAAGAUCAGAUUGACUUGAGCCCGUGUGGCCCACUGAAUCCAAACGUUAUCCACAAUAGUGAUCCAAUUCUCUCGUGUGGCGCCCUCGAAUAUUGGAAUUGAAUGAUGAUAAGUCGACAGGAUUAUAGGAAGAUAGUCGGUUCACUAUUACUUAGGCACACGUUGUUAUCAUAUCCGCAUGUAACGCCCCACGGUCGAGUAUAUAAGGCCUAGGGGGCACCCCAUCAAACAACAACUCACUCAUUAGAUGUCUACUCAGCACUCUAGUAUCCCUCAUACUAGAGAACUCCCCUGUAACCCACCACAUAAAAGAUUCACACUAGGAAGUAGGGUGUUACGCCUCUCUAAGUGGCCCGAACCUGUAUAAAAUUGUCCACUGUCUCUCGUGCAUCUAGCACGAACCAUCGAGCUACAGUCGGCAACACAGUCCUACUCCAAAAAGCACCUCGAGGGGCAACCCCAGGUAUGCGGUCGGACCCAAAACACCGACUGCUGGCACGCCAGGUAGGGGGGGUGUCACUGAUACAAGCUAGCUCAAUGGCCGUCACUUUCCAGCACAAGAUCACUCUCCGCCCUGGAUCCGUGUUCUGCUUCGGAACCAUCUCGUCCGUGGCAGACGAAGAAGGAACUCUACAUCGCAUAGUGGAUACACCGGAGAGAAAACCUUCCUCGAUAAUCCCUGGGAAAGUCGGAACGAAGCAGGAAAUAGUGCAACCUCCAGCGCUCCGAGCAAAGACUUCCUCCUGCAAGCCAGGAGCGGAAAAUUCAUUCACCUGAAGAACCCCGUUGUCCACCUCAUCCACAGAAGAGUGGACACGGAUUACGAGGAAAAAAGAAACGAAGACCCGUCAAGCUACCCUUCUGGUGCCUCCGCCCUCAAAGGAGAACAGAAAGAAGCUUGUCGUCACGACAACUCUGUUCUACCCCGACGUCCUCUUUAUCGGGGGGAGAGUGGAGUCGUCCCCCAUCUCCGACGACGAACCAACUGUGCCUGGGGAAGAACCACCUCAGCGGGAAGCUCGUCGACAAAGGAACCAACGUCAUAACGCCCGGCGACAUCAUGAAGCCGGAGAACGAUAUCCGGCGCAGCCUGUGUCGCGAGAUGAGAUCUCGGAGGUGGGAGAAACUCCAGAUGAACGAGUCUUCAGGGAAAGGAGGAAUUCCCGCCGACGUGAUCGUUGGCAAGCUCAAGAGCAGGCCGAGCAGGAGGCGAGACAACAUCGAGAGAACCCUCUCCUCGGAUGAAACUUGAACCCCAACUUCGCCUGAACCAUGAACACACCGAGCGAGGUCGGUGGAGUGUUGGCUCGGAUAGCUGAUAGCCUCCCCUGGACUCCAGACGCCGAGGGAUAUCGGCGGCUUCUCACUCAGGCAGCUAACCAUCUUCUGCCUUUCGCUCGUCCUCCGAGCGAUCUACGACAUGCCACCAAUAGUCGACGGGACGCAUGGAGCUCCAUCAAUGCUUCGCGCGAACGACAACAUGAGAACGAGAUUCGGCGCCGAGAAGAGUAUGAUCGGGAUCACGGCAUCCCUGCACGAAGUCAGGCCACCAGGCUUGAGUCGGCAACAUCUUCAACUGGCGGCACAACCCGGGGACGGUCGAGGCAGCACAUCGACUACUCCCCUCCCCGGGACAGACACCACAACCGUCGACUAGAAGACACGUGUGGAGUAUCGGCGCUUACUCCACGUCUCAGGGCCAUUCAGUGCCCCCCUAACUUCAAGGUCUCCAACGUCGACAAGUACGAGCCUAAGCAGGACUCAGGAGGCUGGUUGGCCGUCUAUACCACUGCUGCCCGACCCGCUAGGGCAACUGAAGAUGUGAUGACUGCGUAUUUGCCCAUCGUCCUUGGGCAAGAUGCGCUGCAAUGGCUACGACACCUGCCCCGACACUGCAUCGACGAUUGGAGCGACUUCAGUCGGUGUUUUAUCGCCAACUUCCAAUACCUCUCCGACAAGCCGGCGCAGCCAUGGGACCUUGAAAGGGAAAUGUGCCCUUGGGCCAUUUCUAAGUAUUUUGGUGAUUGAGUGCCAACACAAGUGCUUAAGUGUUAAUCUAUGCAAAGUGGUGGACAAAGUGCAAAUCAAGUCAAAAGGUAUGUUUCUAGACUUAGUACAUUGUUUUAUGGACUAAUGUAUUGUGUCUAUGUGCUGGAAACAGGAGAAAUCAAACUGGAAAAGAGAUGGCUUUGUUCAGCCAAAGUCUGCUCAGUCUGGAUGCACCGGACUGUCCGGUGGUGCACCGGACAGUGUCCGGUGCGCCAGGCUGGCUCUGGCGAACUCGCUGCUCUCGAGACUUCAUCGGCGGCGUACGGCUAAAAUUCACCGGACUGUCCGGUGGUGCACCGGACUGUCCGGUGAGCCAACAGUCGGCCGGGCCAACGGUCGGCCGCGGAAUCCGCGCGCGACGCGUGGCAAGAGCCAACAGUCGGGAGGGGCACCGGACUGUCCGGUGUGCACCGGACAGUGUCUGGUGCGCCAACGGCUAGGAAUCUGCAACGGUCGGCUUCGCCAAAUAAGGAAGGAGAUUCGCACCGGACAGUGUCCGGUGGUGCACCGGACUGUCCGGUGCGCCAAGCGACAGAAGGCAAGAAUUGCCUUCCUGGAUUGCUCUCAAUGGCUCCUAGCUGCCUUGGGGCUAUAAAAGGGACCCCUAGGCGCAUGGAGGAGAACACCAAGCAUUCUCUAAGCAUUCCUAAGCACCAAGACUUUGAUUCCGCGCAUUUGAUUCUUUGUGAUAGCAAUUAGAGCUCUAUUUGAGUUGUGAACUCGUCGAGUUGUGUUGUGAGCUCUUGUUGCGACUUGUGUGCGUGGUGUCGCUCUGAUUUCGUGUCUUGUGUGCGUUGCUCAUCCCUCCCUUACUCCGUGCUUCUUUGUGAACUUCAAAGUGUAAGGGCGAGAGGCUCCAAGUUGUGGAGAUACCUCGCAAGCGGGAUAUAGUUGAGUGAAAGCAAAACACUGUGGUAUUCAAGUAGGUCUUUGGACCACUUGAAAGGGGUUGAUUGCAAACCUCGUCCGUUGGAACGCCACAACGUGGAGUAGGCAAGUGUUGUACUUGGCCGAACCACGGGAUAAACCACUGUGCCAUCUCUGUGUUGAUCUCUUUGUGGUUAUCGUGUUGUGCAAGCUCUCUUCUCUAGCCACUUGGCAUUCUUGUGCUAACUUCUAAUCAAGUUUGGUGGCAUUAAGUUUCAAGUUUUACAGGAUCACCUAUUCACCACCCCCCCUCUAGGUGCUCUCAAUUGGUAUCAGAGCCGUUCUCUUCAAGAAAGAGACUAAUCGCCCGAAGAGAUGGAUCCUAAGGGAAAGGGGAUUGUGAUCAAUGACCAGGAAAAGAAGAGUGGAAAGUGGGAAAAGAAGAAGAACUACAAGAAGGCGAAGGGCGAGCAUAUCUUGGAAAGGAGUGGGAUUCGGAUUGCUCCUCGUCCGACUCCGACAACGAAGGACUCGCCGCCACCGCCUUCAACAAGUCAUCCCUCUUCCCCAAUGAGCAUCACACUUGCCUCAUGGCAAGGGAAAAGAAGGUAAGCACUCGUAAUACUAGUACUUAUGCUUCUUCAAGUGAGGAUGAGUCUAGUGAUGAUGAUGAAAUAGACUAUUCAUGCUUAUUCAAGGGCUUAGAUAGAACUAAGAUUGAUAAGAUUAAUGAAUUGAUUGAUGCUUUGAAUGAUAAAAAUAGAUUAUUAGAAAAACAAUAGGACCUUUUAUAUGAAGAGCAUGAUAAAUUUGUUAGUGCACAAAAUUCUCUUGCUCUAGAAGUUAAAAGGAAUGAAAUGCUCUCUUGUGAACUAUCUACUUGUCAUGAAACCAUUUCUACUUUAAAGAGUGUGAAUGAUGAUUUAAAUGCUAAACUAGAAGUAGCAAGUAAAUCUAACUCUUGUAUAGAACAUGUUAUGAUUUGCAAUAGGUGCAAGGAUUUUAAUGUUGACGCUUGUAGUGAACACCUAGUUUGCAUUUCUAAAUUAAAUGAUGAAGUAGCUAGUCUUAAUGCCCAACUUAAGACUAGCAAGAGUGAAUUUGACAAGCUAAAAUUUGCAAGAGAUGCCUACACGAUUGGUAGACAUCCCUCAAUUAAGGAUGGUCUUGGCUUCAAGAGGGAAGUCAAGAACUUAACAAGCCAUAAGGCUUCCAUCUCCGCCAAGGAGAAAGGGAAGGCCCCUAUGGCUAGUAGUGCUCAAAAGAACCAUGCCUUUAUGUAUCAUGAUAGGAGACAUUCUAGAAAUGUGUAUAGAAGUUAUGAUGCUUUUGAUUCUCAUGCUAUGGUUGCUUCUAGUUCUUCUAUUAUGCAUGAUAGAAAUUUAGCUAGGAGAAAUGCUAUUAAUCACAUGCCUAGAAGAAAUGUUGUUCAUAUGCCUAGGAAAACAAAUAGUGAACCUUCUACAAUUUAUCAUGCUUUAAAUACUUCCUUUGCUAUUUGUAGAAAGGAUAAGAAGGUAGUUGCUAGAAAAUUAGGGGCAAAAUGCAAGGGAGAUAAAACUUGCAUUUGGGUCCCUAAAUCUAUUUGUACUAACCUUGUAGGACCCAACAUGAGUUGGGUACCUAAGACCCAAGCCUAAAUUUGCCUUGCAGGUUGAUGCAUCCGGGGGAUCAAGCUGGAUUAUCGACAGCAGAUGCACAAACCACAUGACGGAGGAAAAGAGGAUGUUCUCUUCCUACGUCAAGAACAAGGAUCCCCAAGAUUCAAUCAUUUUCGGUGACGGGAAUCAAGGAAAGGUUAAAGGCUUAGGCAAGAUUGCAAUCUCAAAUGAGCACUCUAUUUCUAAUGUAUUCUUAGUUGAGUCACUUGGAUAUAAUUUGCUAUCCGUAAGUCAAUUAUGUAAUAUGGGAUAUAAUUGUCUAUUCACUAAUGUAGAUGUGUCUGUCUUUAGAAGAAGUGAUGGUUCAUUAGCUUUUAAGGGUGUAUUAGACGGCAAACUCUAUUUAGUUGAUUUUGCAAAAGAGGAGGCCGGUCUAGAUGCAUGCUUAAUUGCUAAGACUAGCAUGGGCUGGCUGUGACAUCGCCGCUUAGCACAUGUGGGGAUGAAGAACCUUCACAAACUUCUAAAGGGAGAACACGUGAUAGGUCUAACUAAUGUUACUUUCGAAAAAGAUAGACCUUGUGCAGCUUGUCAAGCAGGGAAACAGGUGGGAAGCUCUCAUCACGCCAAAAAUGUGAUGACAACAUCAAGACCCCUGGAGUUACUUCAUAUGGACCUCUUCGGACCCGUCGCCUAUCUAAGCAUAGGAGGAAGUAAGUAUGGUCUUGUUAUAGUUGAUGAUUUUUCCCGCUUCACUUGGGUAUUCUUUUUGCAGGUUAAAUCUGAAACCCAAGGAACCCUCAAGCGCUUCCUAAGGAGAGCUCAAAACGAGUUUGAGCUCAAGGUGAAGAAGAUAAGGAACGACAAUGGGUCCGAAUUCAAGAACCUUCAAGUGGAGGAGUAUCUUGAGGAGGAAGGAAUCAAGCACGAGUUCUCCGCUCCCUACACACCACAGCAAAAUGGUGUGGUAGAGAGGAAGAACAGGAUGCUUAUAGACAUGGCAAGGACGAUGCUUGGAGAGUUCAAGACCCCCGAGCGCUUUUGGUCAGAAGCCGUGAACAUGGCUUGCCACGCCAUCAACCGGGUCUACCUUCAUCGCCUCCUCAAGAAGACUUCAUAUGAGCUUCUAACCGGUAACAAACCCAAUGUAUCUUACUUUCGUAUAUUUGGGAGCAAGUGUUAUAUUCUAGUAAAGAAGGGUAGAAAUUCUAAGUUUGCUCCCAAAGCUGUAGAAGGGUUUUUGUUAGGUUAUGACUCAAAUACAAAGGCGUAUAGGGUCUUCAACAAAUCAUCGGGUUUGGUUGAAGUCUCUAGCGACGUUGUAUUUGAUGAGACUAAUGGCUCUCCAAGAGAGCAAGUUGUUGAUCUUGAUGAUGUAGAUGAAGAAGACAUUCCAACGGCCGCAAUGCGCACCAUGGCGAUUGGAGAUGUGAGGUCACUGGAACAAAAGGAGCAAGAUCAACCUCCUUCCUCAACAAUGGUGCAUCCCUCAACUCAAGACGAUGAACAGGUUCAUCAAGAGGAGGCGUGUGAUCAAGGGGGAGCACAAGAUGUUCAUGUGAUAGAGGAAGAAGUGCAACCGGCACCUCCAACCCAAGUUCGAGCGAUGAUUCAAAGGGAUCAUCCCGUCGACCAGAUUUUGGGUGACAUUAGCAAGGGAGUUACUACUCGUUCUAGAUUAGUUAAUUUUUGUGAGCAUUACUCCUUUGUCUCUUCUAUUGAGCCUUUCAGGGUAGAGGAGGCCUUGCUAGAUCCGGACUGGGUGUUGGCCAUGCAGGAGGAGCUCAACAACUUCAAAAGAAAUGAAGUUUGGACACUGGUGCCUCGUCCCAAGCAAAAUGUUGUGGGAACCAAGUGGGUGUUCCGCAACAAACAAGACGAGCACGGGGUGGUGACAAGGAACAAGGCUCGACUUGUGGCAAAAGGUUAUGCCCAAGUCGUAGGUUUGGACUUUGAGGAGACUUUUGCUCCUGUGGCUAGGCUAGAAUCUAUUCGUAUUUUGCUAGCAUAUGCCGCUCACCAUUCUUUCAGAUUGUUCCAAAUGGAUGUGAAGAGUGCUUUCCUCAACGGGCCAAUCAAGGAGGAAGUGUACGUGGAGCAACCCCCUGGCUUCGAGGAUGAACGGUACCCUGACCACGUGUGUAAGCUCUCUAAGGCGCUCUAUGGACUUAAGCAAGCCCCAAGAGCAUGGUAUGAAUGCCUUAGAGACUUUUUAAUUGCUAAUGCUUUUAAGGUUGGGAAAGCCGAUCCAACUCUAUUCACUAAGACUUGUGAUGGUGAUCUUUUUGUGUGCCAAAUUUAUGUUGAUGACAUAAUAUUUGGUUCUACUAACCAAAAGUCUUGUGAAGAGUUUAGCAGGGUGAUGACUCAAAAGUUUGAGAUGUCGAUGAUGGGCGAGUUAAGCUAUUUCCUUGGGUUCCAAGUGAGGCAACUCAAGGAUGGGACCUUCAUCUCCCAAACGAAGUACACGCAAGACUUGAUCAAGCGGUUUGGGAUGAAGGAUGCCAAGCCCGCAAAGACUCCAAUGGGAACCGACGGACACACCGAUCUCAACAAAGGAGGUAAGUCCGUUGAUCAAAAGGCAUACCGGUCUAUGAUAGGGUCUUUACUUUAUUUAUGUGCAAGUAGACCGGAUAUUAUGCUUAGCAUAUGCAUGUGUGCUAGAUUUCAAUCUGAUCCAAGGGAAUGUCACUUAGUGGCUGUGAAGCGAAUUCUUAGAUGUUUAGUCGCUACGCCUUGCUUCGGGAUCUGGUAUCCAAAGGGGUCUACCUUUGACUUGAUUGGAUACUCAGACUCCGAUUAUGCUGGAUGUAAGGUCGAUAGGAAGAGUACAUCGGGGACGUGCCAAUUCUUAGGAAGGUCCUUGGUGUCAUGGAGUUCUAAGAAACAAACUUUCGUUGCCCUAUCCACCGCUGAGGCCGAGUACGUUGCCGCAGGACAGUGUUGCGCGCAACUACUUUGAAUGAGGAAAACCCUCAGGGACUUUGGCUACAAUCUGAGCAAAGUCCCACUCCUAUGUGAUAAUGAGAGUGCUAUCCGCAUGGCGGAUAAUCCUGUUGAACACAGCCGCACAAAGCAUGUAGACAUCCGGCAUCACUUUUUGAGAGACCACCAGCAAAAGGGAGAUAUCGAAGUGUUUCAUGUUAGCUCCGAGAACCAGCUAGCCGAUAUCUUUACUAAGCCUUUAGAUGAGCAGACCUUUUGCAAGUUACGUAGUGAGCUAAAUGUCUUAGAUUCGCGGAACCUGGAUUGAUUUAUAGCAUACAUGUGUUUAUGCCUUUGAUCAUGUUCCUUAUGCAUUUUGUUGCUUAUUUAUGGUGCUCAAGUUGUACAAACACUCCCCGGACCUCACAAGUCCUUUUGCAAGUGAUGCACAUAUUUAGGGGGAGAUGUGUUACAACUUGACCCAUUGAGACUAACCGUAUGCUUGAGUUUGCCUGAUCUAGUCUCAAGGGUGGAUUGAAAGGGAAAGGUGGACUUGGACCAUGCAAGACUUCCACUGCACUCCGAUGAGAGGGUAACUUACUCCAAGUUCAUCUCUAUGAUCUUAUUGCCCUUGUACUCUUAAUUGAAGAUUUUGGUGAGGCAAUGAGGUUCAAGGGCCAAGAUUGAUCCCGUUUUGGUGCUUGAUGCCAAAGGGGGAGAAAAUAAGGCCAAAGCAAUAAAUGGAUCAGCUACCACUUGAGAAAUCUUGAAAAUAGUAGAAUAGAGCUUUUUGAUUUGUCAAAACUCUUGUUGUCUCUUUUGUCAAAAGUUGGCCUCUAGUGGGGAGAAUGGUUGAUUAUGGGAAAAAGGGGGAGUUUUUGAAAUCUUUGAUCAAUUUCUAUUGGAACAACUCUCUUUAUGUCUCUACAAGUGUGUUUGACUUAGAGAUAGGAAUUUGAGGUUGAUUUGCAAAAACAAAACCAAGUGGUGGCAAAGAAUGAUCCAAAUAUGCCAAAUUUGAAUCAAAACAAUUUUGAGUUCUCAUUUGUAUUGAUGUUGCACUUCUUUUAGUUGCUUUUUAUUGUGUUGGCAUAAAUCACCAAAAAGGGGGAGAUUGAAAGGGAAAUGUGCCCUUGGGCCAUUUCUAAGUAUUUUGGUGAUUGAGUGCCAACACAAGUGCUUAAGUGUUAAUCUAUGCAAAGUGGUGGACAAAGUGCAAAUCAAGUCAAAAGGUAUGUUUCUAGACUUAGUACAUUGUUUUAUGGACUAAUGUAUUGUGUCUAAGUGCUGGAAACAGGAGAAAUCAAACUGGAAAAGAGAUGGCUUUAUUCAGCCAAAGUCUGCUCAGUCUGGGUGCACCAGACAGUGUCCGGUGCGCCAGGCUGGCUCUGGCGAACUCGCUGCUCUCGGGACUUCAUCGGCGGCGUACGGCUAAAAUUCACCGGACUGUCCGGUGGUGCACCGGACUGUCCGGUGAGCCAACAGUCGGUCGGGCCAAUGGUCGGCCGCGGAAUCCGCGCGCGACGCGUGGCAAGAGCCAACGGUCGGGAGGGGCACCGGACUGUCCGGUGUGCACCGGACAUUGUCCGGUGCGCCAACGGCUAGGAAUCUGCAACGGUCGGCUUCGCCAAAUAAGGAAGGAGAUCCGCACCGGACAGUGUCCGGUGGUGCACCAGACUGUCCGGUGCGCCAAGCGACAGAAGGCAAGAAUUGCCUUCCUGGAUUGCUCCUAACGACUCCUAGCUGCCUUGGGGCUAUAAAAGGGACCCCUAGGCGCAUGGAGGAGAACACCAAGCAUUCUCUAAGCAUUCCUAAGCACCAAGACUUUGAUUCCGCGCAUUUGAUUCUUUGUGAUAGCAAUUAGAGCUCUAUUUGAGUUGUGAACUCGUCGAGUUGUGUUGUGAGCUCUUGUUGCGACUUGUGUGCGUGGUGUCGCUCUGAUUUCGUGUCUUGUGUGCGUUGCUCAUCCCUCCCUUACUCCAUGCUUCUUUGUGAACUUCAAAAUGUAAGGGCGAGAGGCUCCAAGUUGUGGAGAUACCUCGCAAGCGGGAUAUAGUUGAGUGAAAGCAAAACACCGUGGUAUUCAAGUAGGUCUUUGGACCACUUGAAUGGGGUUGAUUGCAACCCUCGUCCGUUGGGACGCCACAACGUGGAGUAGGCAAGUGUUGGACUUGGCUGAACCACGGGAUAAACCACUGUGCCAUCUAUGUGUUGAUCUCUUUGUGGUUAUCGUGUUGUGCAAGCUCUCUUCUCUAGCCACUUGGCAUUCUUGUGCUAACUUCUAAUCAAGUUUUGUGGCAUUAAGUUUCAAGUUUUACAGGAUCACCUAUUCACCCCCCCUCUAGGUGCUCUCAGACCUCAAAUCCAUCAGGCGCCGAGGGGAUGAGACUCUCCGAUCAUACCUCAAAAGAUUUCAGACCAUGAGAAAUCGAAUCCCCGAGGUUGCGGAAGCAGCGGUGAUCGAGGACUUCUACUGGGGAUCUAAUGACUCGGCCUUCGUCCGAGCCAUACUGCAAAAGGUGCCGACUACCUUCGAGCAGCUAUUCAGGGAAGCGGACCUCUACAUCACUACCAACAAACGGGCUCAGAACCUCAUCGGGGGAACGAAACCUACACCGCUGGCACCACGACGCGACGCGAACCAACAACCCGACAAGCGUUGGGAGAAGAGGCCUCGCGAAAAAGUCCACGCCGCCGGACCACCCGUCUCUCGUGCCCGAGGGGCACCCUGCGGAGGCGAACGAACAUUGGACGACAUCCUCGACGCCCAGUGUCUGUACCACAAGGACAUGCACCACACCAUCCGGAACUACAGAGAUUUCAAGCACUCCGUCAGAAACGGUCGACCCUUCCAACCUCUUGUAACACCCCAGGUGUUACUCAGGGAGUCCACCCAGGACUACCCCUUUUAACCUAUUAUCACAUGAGGAUUGAAUUGGGCAAAGUACAUCAAACUUGGAAUUCAAGGUCCUAAUCAAGUGCAAACCAUCUUGGAUAUCAUGCCCUAGCUUGUCAUGCACAUCUAAGUGGGGAAUUUCCCAAAACCCUAAAGCAAACCCCUCUUGGGCAAUAGGAACCCUAAUUGAAGCUAGGAUCAAAAGGUCAUGUAAACCUUAUGAUCAUGGCUUGGGCGAAAUAUAAAAGUUGUAGUAUGCUUCAUAGCCUACAAAUAAUAGUAAGGAAGUACCCCCAAAAAGAUUUCAGAAAAGCCCCAAAAAGUUCACCAAAGGUUGAGCACAAGGGAAAAAUUCAGAAUUUGCCUAAGUAUAAAAACUAACCCUUGAACAAAGAUUCCACAUGUUCACCUUAAUCCAAAAUUCAAAACACUUCGACCCAAUUGACAAAGUGGCGCCAAAUUAACCCUAGAAUGCCCUGGAAGGAGGUGACACCUACCCUAGGGCGUUUGACACGACUUGACACCAUUUUUGUCUUGGUUUGGACCUGUCCUGACACAGCCGACUUCCCACCCUCAUAUCUCUCUAACCCGACCACAUCUACUCUUGGAACUCACAUGAACUAGGUAGCUCUAGGUGCAAGGAAGAGAUCUCCCACAGGCGAUAGGGUAAGAUUCGUAUGUUUUGGCCGCUCAGCAGAGGGAAGAACACGGGCAGAAGCAACGAGCCACGUGUUCGACGCGCUCUGAGCUCGCCAGAGCACGCCCGCGCGCGCCCCCGCGUGCCCCGCGUCGCGCCAACGGCCAGCUGGCGCCCUGUCCCGCGCCCGCGCCUAUAAAGCCCGCCCGAGCAUCGACUGCACUCUUCCGCACACCCUCAAGCCUCACCGGAGCUCAGUUCACGACCGUUUGCCCGUGCACGGCGUGUCCGCGGCCACCCGAGCCACUGCCGCCGUAGACCGGCCAGUCCAGCUUUCCCCAGCCCCAUCCAACCCUCUGAAACGAGUAAACAUACCUCGGUGAAGCUCCCCGAGCGAGGAAUCGAAGCCUGCUUCGCUGGAGAGGCCAGUCCACGGUCGCCGGAGUUCUCAACCUCGCCGGAGUACGUGGACCGGGUAAUCCACUCAACCUUUUUCCGAUUCCUUGUGCACACGGUCACUACGUCACCCCAGCAAGCUCACCGUGCCCUUGGAUUGAACCAGAUCGCCGUGGUUUGGCUGGUACACUCGCCGCCGACGAGAACACCCGCCUGCGCACGUGGACCGAGCGAUUCCGGCCAUCCCCGCCGUCGAGCCCCACCUCGCUGUGACCGCCAGAGCCUCCCCGAGCCAACCCUGCCCUUCGCCGGACCUAUCUCGCCGACGGUAAGCCGCGCCACCCUUUUCUUUCCCGCGGGUACUGUUUACAUUGGGGGAAGGACUGCGAGUGAGAGGGAGAGAAGGUCAGGGGGCUUUUUGAACUGUCAGCGACUCAGGGGAAUAGUGGCGCAGGGGUAGAUUUGUGCGGGUUGAUUUAGUUUAAACCCAGGGACCUCGGUGUAAACUGUUUUUCCAGGAAACUCUUAUUAAAUCUAUUUUUAAAUUGAACAGAAACUUUAAAAAAUCAUAACUUCUGUUUAGUUCAUCCAAAUUUGGUCAAACCAAUUUUGUCAGACUCUAAAUAAUGUAACCUAUUUAAGAAAAAUAUAAAACCCCCUAUGUACUAUAGAAAACUUUAAAGCUCUGAUUUAAUUAUAGUUUGGCCAAAAGCUCAAUAAUAGAAAGAAAAAUAGUUGUACUAUUUGACUAGGGCUAGAAAAAUUUGGGGAAGUUUGUAUCUACCUACUAACCUGUUUAAAAAUGUUAAACCUCUCUGUCCACUCCAUUAAGCUAGUUUUUACCCCUUAUUCUCUAAUAUGCUUAAGGUUAAGAAAAAUAGAAAACAUAAUUUAAAUAAUGAACCAGGGGCACCCCUAUUUUUAUUAGGAUACUUAUUCAAUGUAGUUCACUGGAAAAAUCUAUCAUACCCUGUUUUAGUAUAAAAUGAGUAGGAUACCUUUUAUUUUAAAAAAAUAAGGGAAACUUAGAAAAAACCCUAUAAAAAUAACCCCAAGGUGAAAACACCCCCACCCUUGGGAUAGUUAAUGUUUUGUUAUUAAGAACUUAGGAAAAAUAUGAAAUCUGCUGUUUGACAUUUUUCAAAUAACAAUGAAGUAGAAAGUGCCUUUUUGACAUUAAACUUUAGAAAAUCAUAACUAAAUAACCACCCCUUAGCUUUCUGUGAUUUUUGGCACAGAAGCCUAUUAUUACUGUUAGAUGCUAGCAAAAAUAACCUUUAGGACAGAACCCACCCUAAUUAGGAGAUGUAGUGUAAGUGGCUCAUUUUACACAACUCUUGUUAUUUUUGUCUAAAGCAAAACCUUCACAUGUAGAGCCUCAAAUUCUUAAAACAGACUAGAAUAGCAAUUGGAAACCCACUGUAAUUUUUACAAAAUUUUUGGAGAAAGUUAAACUACUGUUGUAGUUCAAACCCCCACUAGAAUUCAUAAAUAGAAAUUAAAGAAAGGAAAAUGAAUAAUGGAGAUUAGUGUCAUCCUAGAACUCUUGUAAAUUGUCUACUGAAAUACGUAAAGACAAUACAAAUCCACUAUGUUUUUUCUCAAUAAAAACCUAAGCCUAAAGAGUAAUAAGCCUAACCCACUGAAAGCCCCGAAUAACUAAGAAACCCUAAGUUACUUCUUGACUUAGCUUAUUUUUAGCAUAAUGUUAUUAAAUCCUGCAUAAUCAUGACAUACAUGUUCAUUGCAUUUCGAUAGACUGUAACCUUGCUGACGGAGAGUACGUCCUCGUGCCGGAGCAAGGAGCUGCUCAGGAGGUAGCCCCAGAUCCAGCACCAGAGCCUGCACCAGAGGACCUGCCUGCCACUGCUUUGGAAGGCAAGCCCCGGUUUAUGCAUAACCUGUUAUUUAUGCUAUUUUACUUCACUUAAUGAUUGUAGGAUUGAUUGUGCACUUAGGUGUAGGAAUUGUUUGAAACCCUAGUUGCAUGAUCUCAGGAAUCCUUUUGAGAUGGAUACUAGUAUAAUAGGUCGAGUAGUUGCUUUAUUUAAUUAGGAUCUCGGUAGAAGACGAGUGAUUUUUCUAGCACUCGCGCGAGAUCAGGUAAUUGGUUGUAUCCACUUUCUUCUCAUAAUGAUGCUGGUUGUGGACAACAAUCCAUGGGGAUUGGUUGUUUACGAGAUGGGAAAAUGGAAUAAGGACUAACGUGCGGAUACCUGUGUCAAGCGUUUGAACGUACUAAACACAUGCCGAGAAAUAUGGUAAAUCGUAAGCCUAGUACCUGAUUGAACCUGGCAGUGAACUUUACCCCUCACGCGACCUGAGACGUGGUCUCCCAUUCCGGUUAUGGUGGGUACAAGUGCGGUCACUGCACGACGGCAGUCGGGGUCAGUGAGGCAUUGUACGCCAAGGCGGUGAGCCCUGAUCUGCUGACGGGGAAUCGAUGGGGACGGUUGAUAUGUGUGGGGACGGAGUGCCCUUACAUGUCGUGUGUUUAGGUUUACCUUGCAAGGAUAAAAACUCGAUUCGAAUCGUCUGCUUCUCGCAGCUAAUGAGACUGCUUGAUCCAUUGUACUGCAUUGAGUAACAAGUGGAAAUAUGAUGAGUUGAUAUAAGAUGUUGAUUGCUAAAAAUGUUUGCUACUAUGUAUGAGUAGAUAGUACACAUUUAGCCUUAAGAGAGUCACACUUAAAUUGACAAAGUUAAAACUUGACUUAGAAACUCAGCUAGUGCUUUUGGCAACCAAACCCCACAGCCAAACAGCUGCAUGUCUAGAGGUAGAGGAGUAGACUCCUCACACCGGGUAAGUCUAGCUGAGUAUUAGUAUACUCAGCCUUGCUUGUGGCAUAAUUUUACAGGUUCCUUGGAGGACAUGGUUGCUGGAGUGACUUGGCCAUCCAUCUUGCCACCGGGUUGGACUGUCGAGUGGGACCCCGCCUCGGCUGAGGAGGAGCAUGAGGAGUGAUGGGACAGGCUUCCCCAUCUCUCUGUUUAAUUACCGUUAGUUUUAUUCCGCUGCACUUCGAACAAUGAUGACUCCUUUUGCAAAACUCCGAUGAUGAUGUAAUAAUUUAAUACUCUUUAAUGCAUGGUUUUAUGCUUUAUUGUAUUUGCUCUGUGACUCACCAUCGAGUGAGAUUGUGGUACUUGAUCCUGUCAGUGGCCGUGUCGGACUAGAUCCGAGGGAUUGACGGGUUAUUCCCAUUUAAGUGUGGUCCAGCCUCUAAGGCGGGACUUAGGCACUUAAGUUGGAAUAAUUCGGGCAGUUCCGCCACAGCUGGUAUCGGAGCUUGUACCACCACAGAGGAAUCAAUAAAAUGUAAAUACCAUCAUUUUCCCAAAAUAAAAUUUGAUAGAAACAAUGUUGGAUAGAUAGGAGAACGAGCAGGAUAGACCUAGGACGUGUAGCCUUAGGGUAAUAGAAGGGUAGCUAGGUGGCUAAGUAAUUAGGCCCUACAGGCCACUUUUACAGGAUGGGAGUUCUUCCCUAUUCCUUUUAUCUUGUUGUGAGGUCGUUCAGAACGAGCAUGCAUGCAUUCUUAAUUAAGCAAAUGGAUAACUGAGUAAGGACUUAAAAACAAGAUAACAACCAACUAGGUCCCCAGUGCCUUUUUAUUUAACUAGAGAAAGGCUGAGUUUUAUUUUUCUUGUUCUUUUUAUAAUUCUUUUUCUUUUACUUACGCUUAACCGUACAAAGAUGACUUCCCACGGAUCCUCAGAGGACGGAAAUGCACUAUCCCACACUGACGGGCUUGCACGAGAGGGCUUUCCCCGCAUUUUGUGGGAGGUACUUCAGGGGGGCGGAUACGACACCCCCUUAGUACGUGGUGCAGCAGUUCGAGAAGCACCGAGUGCCCCGCUGUAGGGUGAGGAUGACCUUAGAGCCUCAUCCUCUACAGCCAGGCUGGCGCUCAUUGGACUCCGAGUCUUUUGGAUACCGAGCGGAGGACACGAUCGAGGCGAUCGCUCUGCAUGGAUUGACCACUUUCUGCGGAUUCCAUCCUUUGGAGCUGGCUACCCACCCCAUUGGCUUGUUCCCCGCCGAAAGGGAGGACGACCCAAUGUGGAAGGAUAGGGUGGAGCAUGCCAAGGAUAUCUGGGCCAUCUACCCAGGACAGACGGCGCACUUGACCGUACGGUGCAUGAAUGCUCUGUACCGUCUGCAAGUGAUGUGCGGUGAGGCGAUGUCCCAUCUGAUGGCACUAUUGGAGGCGACAAAGAUUACGUUGGACAACAGGGAGGAGCUUGUGGUUGAUUUGUCUACUGAAAUGGUGGAGAAGGACUUGCAGGUGGAGCAGCUAUCCACUGAUAUCCAAGAGUUGGAGGAACUAGUGGGCACCAGGGAGAACACCAUCGAGGUUCUCAAGGAUCAGCUCAUUAACACCUAGCAGCAGCUUGCCGAGGCCAAUGAGCACCUGGAUAUGCAUCACCAGGAGAUCCAGGACAUGGAGGCCAACGAGGACGUCGACAUCGAGGGAGGAGAUGAGCCUGCCUCUAGUGUGGACACUGCUGGCUCAGGGAGACCACCUUCCCCCGAGUCGAGUGUUGCCUCGUUCGCUCACUAGAUGUCCAGGGUAGAGUUAGACGUUGGUGAUGGUAGGACUCCUCGCAGCUAGCUUAGAUGUUGCACCCUUGGGGUACUAGGCUAGAUAGAGUUGAGUCUUUUUGGGACAAAUGAUGUAACCGUAAUAACUCUCUUAGAAACAUGUUCGGUGGACGCUGUUAUCAGUUUUAAAUUCGGAAGGAAAAUUUUAUGCCAGUUUAAAUCCUUUUGUUGAAAUUGGAGUCUAUCAUUUUGCUUUUGGGCUCUUUUCGCCGCGAUUAAAGCUUGAACUUGGAGAUAUGGUGUUAAGUAUGUAUGUGGUUUUUCAGAUGGCCGGGAGGCAGCAUCGUGGCCAGAAUGAGCGCGUUCCUCCACCGCCGCCACCGCCUCCCACUCUGCAGGAGCUGAUGGCUCAGCAGAAUGAGAUCUUGAGGCAGCUAGCUCAGCGUCAGCCACCACCUCAGCAUUAUGGUGGUGGAGACCAUCAGCGUCACCCCGCGGCAGCUACCUACUAGGAGUUCCUCAGUACCCAGCCCCCAUUGUUCACGAGGGCAGAGGACCCACUUGAUGCAGAUGUGUGGUUGCGAGUGGUGGAAUCCAAAUUCCCGCUACUCCAUGGGGCUUGUUCAGAGGCCACUAAAGUCAGGUUCGCCACCCAGCAGCUUCGCGGACCCGCAAGGACUUGGUGGGACCAUUUUCUUGCCAUGCAGCCAGAGGAUCGAGAGGUGGAAUGGAGGGAGUUCAAGGCAGCUUUCAGGGGACACCACAUACCAGCCGGGAUUAUGGACCGAAAGCUCAACGAGUUUCUGGCACUCACUCAGGGCAACAAGAUAGUGUUGCAGUAUGCCCAGGCUUUUAAUGACUUGUGCCAGUAUGCUAGAUAUCACGCAGACACGGAUGAGAAGAAGAGAGACAGGUUCAGGAGGGGGCUCAGCACUAAGCUCCGUGAUCGUCUCAACACCGUCAGGGCCAAUAGUUACAAUGAGUUGGUCAACAUGGCUAUCUCCCAGGAGCACUGCAUUACAGCUCGACAGGCAGAAAAGAAGAGGAAGACCCCUGUGGCAGAACCCUCAGCUCAGCCACAGCGCUUCAGGAUUGUGUCGGACACGCAGAACAGGGGACCCCAGCAGCAGCAAGGGAGAUGGGUGAUCCGACCAUAGCAACAGCAGCCGCAGCAGGUACCCAACCGUACCCAGUUUCCAGCUCAGAGGAACAAUCAGCAGCAGCAGUACCGCCAGGCGAAUGACAACAGGUGUUUCACGUGUGGCAACACCGGACACUAUGCCAAGAAUUGCCCCCGGAACCAGCAGAGGCAGGGGCAGAAUGUCAAUCAGAACCAAGGAAAGAGACAGAAGGUGCAAGUGAGGCAGGGCAGGCUAAACUUUACCACCAUGGCUGAUAUUCCAGAGGGAGCACCUGUCAUGACUGGUAUCUUUACAGUUUUAAAUUAUCCUGCUAUUAUUCUUUUUGAUUCUGGUGCUUCGCAUAGUUUUAUCAGUGCCAAAUUUAGUGCCAAGUGCCAGUUGCCUUUUCACCACACCAAUGGGGGUAUCACAAUUUCAACACUAGGAGGCAGGGUUGCCACCUAUCAAGUCAACAGGCAUGUGCCCAUAAAGUUUGGUAGCCUUGUAAUUAAAACCACCCUCCUCAUUUUAGGGUUGGAUAGCGUGGAUAUUAUAUUGGGAACUGACUGGUUAACCAGGCACCAAGCAGUUAUUGAUAUUGCAGCCAGGGCCAUUGAGGUGCACUCACCAACUUGUGGUGAAACCACACUAUAUCUGCCUGAUCAGGGAUGCACCCGUUCUUGUGCCUUUGUUAUGUUAGAAUCCCCGGUAGAAAAGAUCCUAGUGGUCUGUGACUAUCCGGAUGUGUUUCCAGAUGAAUUGCCAGGGAUGCCACCUGACCGAGAUAUUGAGUUCGCAAUCGAGUUACAACCCGGGACUGCUCCUAUCUCCAAGAGACCCUAUAGGAUGCCUCCCGCGGAAUUGGCAGAAUUGAAAAAGCAGCUGCAAGAGUUGUUGGACAAGGGGUUUAUUCGCCCAAGUACUUCACCAUGGGGAUGUCCAGCAUUAUUUGUGAAGAAAAAGGAUGAAAGUUUGAGAAUGUGUGUUGACUACCGCCCUCUCAAUGCGGUGACUAUCAAGAACAAAUACCCGCUACCCCGCAUUGAUGUUCUGUUUGAUCAGCUAGUAGGAGCCAAGGUAUUCUCCAAGAUAGACCUUCGCUCAGGUUACCAUCAGAUCAAGAUCCGUGCCAGUGACAUUCCCAAGACGGCUUUCUCUACCAGAUAUGGGCUGUAUGAGUUUUUGAUGAUGUCUUUUGGGCUGACCAAUGCCCCGGCUUAUUUUAUGUACCUGAUGAACUCAGUGUUUAUGCCAGAGUUGGAUAAGUUCGUGGUCGUUUUCAUUGAUGAUAUUCUGUUCUAUUCCAAGAAUGAAGAUGAACAUGUUGAGCACCUGCACAUCGUGCUUCAGCGACUGCACGAUCAUCGUCUUUAUGCUAAGUUGUCUAAAUGCGAAUUCUGGCUGAAGGAGAUUAAAUUCUUGGGUCAUACAAUUUCUCAGGAUGGGAUAUCAGUUGAUCCUGAGAAGGUACAAGAGGUGAUGGAUUGGAAACCCCUGACUACAGUGAGGCAUAUUCGAAGUUUUCUGGGUUUGGCAGGGUAUUAUCGACGAUUUAUUCCGGAUUUCUCCAGGAUUGCCAAACCAAUGACUGAACUGUUGAAGAAAGGAGUCAAGUAUGAUUGGAACCAAAAGUGUGAAGAUGCCUUUCAUACUUUGAGGCAGCAUUUGACAACAGCCCCAGUGCUGGCUCAACCUGACAACACCAAGCCCUUUGAAGUUUAUUGUGAUGCUUCUGGUACAGGAUUGGGAUGUGUCCUGAUGCAAGAUAACAGAGUCAUUGCUUAUGCUUCCCGAGCACUGAGGCCCCAUGAGCAGAACUACCCUACACAUGACCUGGAGUUGGCAGCUGUGGUUCAUGCUCUUAAGAUAUGGAGACACUACUUGAUGGGAGCUCACUAUAACAUCUACACUGAUCACAAGAGUCUCAAAUACAUCUUCACUCAGGCAGAUCUGAACAUGAGGCAAAGGAGAUGGUUGGAGUUAAUCAAGGAUUAUGAUUUAGAGGUGCAUUACCAUCCUGGUAAAGCCAAUGUUGUGGCAGAUGCCUUGAGCAGAAAGGCCCACUGCAAUUGUAUGAGCAUGGAUGCAAGAGUCACCACCCUGUGCGAUGAGCUAUGCAAGCUGAACCUGGAAGUUGUUUCUUCAGGUGAUUUGAGUUAUAUCUCGGUGGAACCCACAUUGCAGGAGCAAAUAGUAAGAGCACAGAUUGAGAAUAAGGGUGUUCAAAUGAUUAAGGAAAUGAUCAAGCAAAAGGCAGAGAAAUACAAGUGCUUCCGUCAGGAUAGCAAGGGAAUUUUAUGGUUUGGAGAUCGAUUGGUUGUUCCCAAGGACCCUGAGCUCAGAAAGAAGAUACUAGAUGAAGCUCACCUUUCCAAAUUUUCCAUGCACCCUGGUAGCAACAAGAUGUGCCAUGAUCUUAGAUCUUUAUAUUGGUGGACCAGAAUGAAGAGGGAAAUUGCCAAGUACAUAUCCGAGUGUGACACCUGCCAGAGAAUCAAGGCCAGUCACUUGAAGACAGCGGGUCCUUUGCAACCCCUUCCCAUACCAUCUUGGAAAUGGGAGGACAUUUGCAUGGAUUUUAUCGUAGGAUUGCCCAACACCUCCAGGCACCAUGAUUCCGUUUGGGUUAUUGUGGACAGGUUGACCAAGACCGCUCAUUUCUUGCCAGUGCACACCACCCACAAGACAGAGAAGUAUGCAGAAAUUUAUGUUGAUCAAAUAGUGCGAUUGCAUGGUAUUCCAAAGACCAUCAUAUCUGACAGAGGAGCACUGUUUGUGGCACGCUUUUGGGAGAAGCUGCAAGAAUCCCUUGGGACCCAAGUAAUCCAAAGCUCGGCAUACCACCCUCAAAUAGAUGGCCAGACAGAAAGGGUGAAUCAGGUUCUGGAAGACAUGUUGCGAGCAGGUGCACUACACUACGGGAAGGAUUGGGACAAGUGUCUUUCUUUGGCAGAGUUUUCUUAUAAUAACAGCUAUCAGUCCAGUCUGAAGAUGGCACCUUUUGAAGCUUUAUAUGGGAGAAGGUGUAGGACCCCACUGAAUUAGUCUCAAGCAGGAGAGAGGGAAAUUUUUGGGCCAGACUUGGUACUUGAGGCAGAGGCAAAGGUCAAGGUUAUUACCAAGAACCUCGAAGUUGCUCAGGCCAGGCAAAAGAGCUAUCAUGAUAAGAGGCGGAAGCCUCUACAGUUUGAGGUGGGAGAUCAUGUUUAUCUUAAAGUGUCACCCACCAAGGGUGUCCAGAGAUUCGGGAUCAAGGGCAAGUUAGCUCCUCGCUACAUUGGACCCUAUGAAAUCAAAGCAGGUUGUGGACCCGUAGCCUAUCAGUUGGAAUUGCCACCUCACAUGUCAGCAGUUCACAAUGUGUUCCAUGUAUCUCAGCUGCGGAAAUGUGUUCGUCUACCCACUGAAGUGCUACCGGAACCAGACAUUGAGAUAGAACCAGACUUGUCCUACCAAGAGUACCCCGUCAACGUAUUGGAUUAGAAGGAGAGAUCAACUCGGGCAAGAUCAGUCAGAAUGUAUAAAGUUCAGUGGAGUCACCAUUCAGCAGAAGAAGCUACAUGGGAGACUGAGGAUUUUCUACGCUCUCGCUUCCCCGACUUUCUGCCCAAAGGAGUCGGUACGUAACCCCAGAACCCCACCCCCACCUGCCCUUUGAAUUCAAUUAUAAGAAAAACUUAGAUAACAAGGAUAGUCUAAGUUGUGGAUUUAACUUAAAAAGGGCUUCCUUCUGAAGUUGCAAAGAGAAUGACAUUCGAAGAGCAGUUAACGAGAGAAAUUGGAGUAUAAGGAAGAGUAACACACCAUUAUACCUUAGUAGCACCCCUCUAGAGGACUCUGCCUAAAAUCUAGGGACGAGAUUCCUUUAAGGGGGGAGGGCUGUAACACCCCAGGUGUUACUCAGGGAGUCCACCCAGGACUACCCCUUUUAACCUAUUAUCACAUGAGGAUUGAAUUGGGCAAAGUACAUCAAACAUGGAAUUCAAGGUCCUAAUCAAGUGCAAACCAUCUUGGAUAUCAUGCCCUAGCUUGUCAUGCACAUCUAAGUGGGGAAUUUCCCAAAACCCUAAAGCAAACCCCUCUUGGGCAAUAGGAACCCUAAUUGAAGCUAGGAUCAAAAGGUCAUGUAAACCUUGUGAUCAUGGCUUGGGCCAAAUAUAAAAGUUGUAGUAUGCUUCAUAACCUACAAAUAAUAGUAAGGAAGUACCCCCAAAAAGAUUUCAGAAAAGCCCCAAAAAGUUCACCAAAGGUUGAGCACAAGGGAAAAAUUCAGAAUUUGCCUAAGUAUAAAAACUAACCCUUGAACAAAGAUUCCACAUGUUCACCUUAAUCCAAAAUUCAAAACACUUCGACCCAAUUGACAAAGUGGCGCCAAAUUAACCCUAGAAUGCCCUGGAAGGAGGUGACACCUACCCUAGGGCGUUUGACACGACUUGACACCAUUUUUGUCUCGGUUUGGACCUGUCUGACACAGCCGACUUCCCACCCUCAUAUCUCUCUAACCUGACCACAUCUACUCUUGGAACUCACAUGAACUAGGUAGCUCUAGGUGCAGGGAAGAGAUCUCCCACAGGCGAUAGGGUAAGAUUCGUACGUUUUGGCCGCUCAACAGAGGGAAGAACACGGGCAGAAGCAACGAGCCACUUGUUCGACGCACUCUGAGCUCGCCAGAGCACGCCCGCGCGCGCCCCCGCGUGCCCCGCGUCGCGCCAACGGCCAGCCGGCGCCCUGUUGUAACACCCACUUUGUAAUUGGUUAGGAAUAAUACCAAUAGAGAAACAAUUUCUCUUCAUAUGAGUUUGAACUUUAUGCAUCAUCACAUGUGAACACUUCACUUAUACAAAUGAAUAAAUAAUAAAAGGCACUCAAACAAAUCAGGCAUCAUGCUGGUAUUUUUAUUUUGCGUGCAUUAUUUAUGACAAAAUAAUAAUAACAAUAAUAAAAGAAAAAUAAUAAUGAGAGGAAAUUUGAAUCCUAAAUUGAGAAUUAGGAUUUGAAGUAUAGAAGGAAAACAUAAAAUGCUAUACAAUACAAAAAAAAAUUAUUUAAUAAAUUUAUAAGUAGAUAAAUUUAUUUCACAAUAAUUUAUUCAAAUUGCAUACUCAGAAAUUGAGUACAAGUUCACCAUAAAUUUGAAGAUCAAAUUGAGACUCAAAAAUAAGAGAGAAAAGAAAUAAAAAAAAGAAAGAAAAUUCCAUGCGCUUGGGCUAGCAUUUGACGGUUUGGCCCAUUCUACUUUCCUCCUCUUCUGCUCGUCAUGGCCCGUGGAGGAUUUGGCGCUGACUGGUGGGGCACUAUCGGCUGUGGCAUGACGCGUUUCCUUCUCCACGCUGGUCAUCCACGCCGACGUCAGGGGCCCAGGUGUCAGCUCGCAACGAAACGCACUCCUGUGUUUACGUAGCGCUUAUGGUCACGGGCCUGUGGACCCAAGGGGGUCAGACCACGUUCCCCUGUGCCAUUGCCGCAACCUUCGCGGGGCUGGUAAACUGCCCUGGCGCCGAAUCAUAACGGAAGGGCUCCUUGGGGUUCGGGCACCACAGGGGUGUCUAUAUAUGCCUAGAUGACGACCUUACCCCAUCACCCAGAGCAAGAAAACCUAGCCGCCAUCACCAGAGAGAGAGAGCUCUGUGGGGCGAGUCUGUGUGCCCGCCGCCGCUGCCACCAAUUGUAGUCGUCGUCGCCUCCCAACCUCCGUUGUGCGGUUCCCAGCGUUCUGCAGAGUCGAUAGAUCGUGUACACGGGCCUAAUCGGGCGCUGAGGCCUGCGGUGCAUCGGAAUUUCUCGCUGGUUCUUCAUCCAGGCCGCCGGGCCGCGGGUCACCGAGGGCAGCGCUGCUGUCACCACCAAGAACGGUACGAUGCACUCCAUUACAUUCCCCAUGCUCUCUGCUUUGUUAUGCAAGCGUCAGAAUCGUGUUCUAGGCAGAAAUCGGGGAGUAAGCUAGUGGCCGUUAAUGGCGCGCCGCCGUGCGGUUGGGCUCUGCCGUGGUUGAGCGCUGGGGGUGGAAGACAACACAGGGGCCCUAGAUUUAACAAUGGACGAUCACGAUUAGAUGGAGAGAAUAGCUAGCGACAGCCGUUGGAUCGUUGUUGGGCGGUUCAGAUUUAAUCGCGUGCUCCCCUUCGCGCGAUCCGUUCCUGACCGUCGAUCUCGAGUUAGUCGGCCGGGAUUUAAUGAUGUGUGGAGCGAGCGAUUGCCGUGGAUUCUAGAUCCAGUGGCUCCAGUUGAAUACCGUUUCGUCUCAAGCCGGUUAGAUCCUGGCCCUAGAAUUCUAAUCGGACGGCCCACGUUAGUCCAUACCCCUUCGCGGUGCCAUUUAGCUAAAGAGUCCCUCCACUUGCCAGAAUUAGAACCCGCCAUCCUCUGGCACUAUGCGCUGGGUCUCUGGAUUCUUACCCCGAGCCCCCUGCGUUUCACAUUAAUUGAGGCCCAGUCCAGUGCUGUUUUAAAAUGAGUAAAUGAAUUAGAAAACGUAUUUUAAUACAAAAAUAAGUGCUAAAUCUUCAAUAAUUCAUAGAAAAUUCAUACUUGCUCCAAACUAAUCUAUUCCACUUUCUAAAAUUUUGUAAUUUUAUUCUCUAACAUCUAGAGCCUCUGUUUUAUCAUGACAACAGUAAGAAAAUUAAUUUCACACUUAAUCUCACUUUAAACACAUAAAACCUUUGAAAAUCCAUAACUUAAAAUCUAUAACUCCAAAAAAUUAUGAUUCCUGUUCCUAGGAUUUUAUUUUAAUAUGUAGAUUAUUACUGUGUAUUUUGUUUACAUGCUUGGUGUAAUGUUAAUUUCCCCUGUAUCCUGUGCUUGUUUGUAUUGUGGCGAGUAGAAGAGCACGUGACUGAGGAUCCUGGUGAGCAGCAGGUUGAAGUAGCUGAGCAGGAGCUCAUUGAAGGCAAGUUGUGCCCUUGACCACUUUUUACCCAAUAAUGUUCUCUAAUUAUCAUUCACUCAUGCAUAGGUUAAUUUUGAUGGGACCCAAUAGGUCACCCUAGAUUGUUUAUCUCAUUACCUUGUUUACCCCUGAAUCACUUGGGUAGUUUGCUAUUGCUAUACAUGGUUUUGGGAUAAUCAUUUAUUAUAUCUAUGUUCCAAUUAUUCUUGUUAUUCUGUUUAUGUUCAUGUUGAGAUCAUUAAUGUUAAUUGGAACAUAGAGCUUAACUUGAGAACCACGUGCCACCACAAGGGUUUAAUGGGACGCCCUUGGCUGACUAAUUAGGAAAGCUAGUGGAAGACUACCUUACCCGAAAGGGGCAAGGGCAGUAGGGGAGUGGUCAGUGUAGGGAGGUCCCUGGUUGAUUUUGCUGCGAUGGCGGUCAGCCAGGAACCCUGCAUUGGAACUUCCUAUAAACUGUAGCGGGUUUUCGGAAGCUAGUGGAACUUUGUAAAGGCCUCGUAGUGUUGCCCUGCCGCGCUUCCUAGGUAGAGGUGUAUGGGAUUCGCGAACCCUUGGCAGAUGGGUAACAUGACUUGUGGGUAAAGGGUACAACCUCUGCAGAGUGUAAAACUGGUAUACUAGCCGAGCUCACGGUCAUGAGCAGCUCAGGACUCUCUGAUGUUUAAAUUAUGGAACUUAAAUUCAAUUUUGUCAUUUGCAUUGCAUGGGUUUAGUAUUAAUUUGUUCUAUUACUUUAUUUAAGGUUUGGUAUUUACUUACAUCUAGUAAUUGCUAAUAAAAGUUUGACCAACAUUAAAAGCAAUGCUCAGCUUUAACCAUUCUCUUUGAUAAGCCUUACACUCCAUGAGCUCCCACCUUUGGUGAGUUCAUGUCACAUUAUUCCCCACAACUUGUUGAGCGAUGAUCAUGUGUGAGCUCACCCUUGCUGUCUCACACCCCCCCACAGGAGAAGAUCAGGUGGUUCAGGAGGAGCCGCCUAACACUGAGGAGUUCGAUCUGAUCUAGGUGGCGUUUCCCAGUUGACAUUGGCGCCGACGAUCCUUAGUUCGUUUUAUCUUUAUUAUUUUAUUUUGUAAUAAGUCUUCCGCUAUGUAAUAAAUACUCUGAUGUUUCAUGACAUUUAUCUCUAUACACUCUGUUAUUAUAUAUGUUGUCUUCUUGGCGCAUGUAUGAGAUGCACCUGGCUUUGUUCCUUAAAGCCGGGUGUGACAGAAGUGGUAUCAGAGGAAAUGUUGACUGUAGGACGAAACCUAGAUAGAAAUGGACAAAACCCUUUCCUACUUACCUUACUCUGACUCAUUCUAUACUCAUCUCAUCUUGAUCUUGUCUCACCUUUUGCUACUCUACUCUGAUUAAUCUUAUCUUUUCUACUCUAAGACAAGAUGGAUUUCACACCUUGGAAUCCUACCAAUAUGAUCUUUUUUUAAGAGAUAGGGAUCCUAAGACAAAAUUUAAAACUAUUUUCUUUAUUUAAAAAAAAUUGAUUGGUUGAUUGUGCUGAUGAUCAAUGCCUGAUUUGCUUCUUUGAUUGAUUGAAAUAGUAUAGACGGGCAUCUUAGCAUGUACCACCAUAAGGUAAUGUAUUAGCGUUAGUAGGUGACACACUAAUCUACUUAGCUAAUAAAUCUCCCGCAGUAACAUUCAUCGUAAUUACUCGCCUUGUCUACAAUUCUUCCUUUCUUACCCUGUAUUUCUAACCCAGAUGGACUACCCCUAUAGUGUUAGAAGAGAGCACUAUAGACAUGAUCCUUGGUAUGUCAUGGUUAAGAAAGGCAAAGGCAGUAUAUACACUGUGCUAAGGGAACUGUAGAACUAACCAGUUCCAAAGGACAAAGAUUUGAAGUUGAAGUAACUACCACCAUCAGACUAGCAGCAUUCCUAGUAGAUGAAAAGUUUGUGGGUGACAACAUCCAUGCAGUUAGGGAUUUUCCGGAUGUCUUUCCAGAGGAGUUAUUAGGGAUGCCACCAGAUAUGGAAGUUGAGUUUGUCAUUAAUCCCUUACCUAAGACUGCCCCUAUUUCUAAACGACCAUACAUGAUGUCCGUAGAAGAGCUAAAUGAACUUAAGAAGCAAUUAAUGGAAUUACAAGAGGCUGGGUACAUUCGUUCGGGUUCCUCACCUUGGGGAGCACCGGUACUAUUUGUACAGAAGAAGGAUGGAUCGCAAAGGAUGUGUGUGGAUUAUAGGUCCCUUAAUGAUGUUAUCGUGAAGAACAAGUGUCCGUUACCCCGCAUUGAGGAUUUAUUUGAUCAGAUGAGAGAUGCAAGGGUAUUCUUGAAGACUGAUCUCCGAUCAGGUUACCAUCAAAUGUAGAUUAGACCAUCGGAUAUUCCCAAGACGACUUUCUCGACUCGAUAUGGAUUAUAUGAGUUUAUUGUUAUGUCGUUUGGAUUAACCAAUGCCCCAGCUUAUUUUAUGAACUUGAUGAAUAAGGUGUUUAUGGAGUAUUUGGACAGAUUCGUCGUGGUAUUCAUCGACGAUAUUCUUAUUUAUUCUCAGAGUGAUAGCGAUCAUGAGGAACAUCUGAGAUUGGUGCUACAGAAGCUACGAAUUAAUCAACUCUACACCAAGUACGGUAAAUGCGAGUUUUGGAUUGGCGAGGUGCCAUUUCUUGGUCAUAUUAUUUCUAAUGGAGGAAUAUCAGUGGAUCCUGCUAAGGUUAAGGAGAUAAUGGAAUGGAGGGUACCCACUACAGUUACUGAGAUUCAGAGUUUCUUGGGACUAGCAGGAUAUUAUCGGAGAUUUAUUGAAGGAUUUUCUGAGAUUGCUAAACCUAUGACUUCACUUUUGGAGAAAGGAAGAGAAUUUAAGUGGGAUGAGAAGUGUCAAGAUAGCUUUGAUCAAUUGAAGAAGAGAUUGAUGUCACCACCAGUAUUGAUUAUGCCAGAUCUGCAGAAGGGAUUUGACAUUUAUUGUGAUGCAUGUGGCCAAGGACUUGGAUGUGUGCUUAUGCAAGAAGGACAUGUGAUUGCCUAUGCUUCUCGUUAGUUACGGAAACAUGAAUUGAACUACCCCACUCAUGACUUGGAAUUGGCAGCCGUUGUGCAUGCACUUAAGAUUUGGAGGCAUUACAUUAUGGGAACCAAGUGUCAAGUAUACACGGAUCAUAAGAGUUUGAAGGAUAUAUUCACUCAGAAGGAUCUCAACCUUAGGCAACACCGUGGGUUGGAGCUUAUUAAGGAUUACGAUUUGGAGAUUCACUGUCACCCAGUCAAGGCAAAUUUGGUUGCAGAUGCCUUGAGUCGCAAGGAGCAUGUUCAUUCAGCUAUUGUUGCCCAGCUACCUGAUGAGAUUGUUGAGGACUUCAGGAGACUUAACCUGGGGAUAGUUGCUCAUAUUGAAGGAGUUACUAUUGAUGUGGAACCUACUUUGGAGCAAGAGAUCCGCAAAGGACAAAUUGGUGAUGCUAAAAUAAAAGAGAUUAAGGAUCUGAUUACUGAAGGUCGAGUUCCGGAAUUCACGGAAGAUGAGCAAGGCACUGUAUGGUUCAAGGACAGAAUGUGUGUUCCUGAUAUUAAAAGCCUUCGAGAGACUAUUUUAAAGGAGGCCCAUGAUUCGGAUUAUUCUAUUCAUCCUGGUAGUACCAAGAUGUAUCAGGAUUUGAAGCGGAAAUAUUGGUGGUAUGGAUUGAAAAGAGAUGUAGCUGCACAUGUGGCUAUGUGCGAUGUAUGUCAAAGAGUCAAGGCUGAACACCAGAGGCCAGCUGGACUAUUGCAUCCACUGAAGAUACCCGAGUGGAAGUGGGAAGAGAUUGGUAUGGAUUUUAUUACUGGAUUGCCUCGCACCCAGAAAGGAUAUGAUGCUAUAUGGGUGAUUGUGGAUAGAUUGACUAAAGUGGCUCACUUUAUUCCUGUCAAGACUACUUAUAAAGGUUCACAGCUAGCAGAGUUAUAUAUGGCUCGGAUUGUGUGUUUACAUGGAGUACCAAAGAAGAUCGUGUCUGAUCGAGGUUCGCAGUUUACCUCACGAUUUUGGAGAAGCUUUCAUGAGAACAUGAGUACGAAGUUGAAUUUCAGUACGGCUUAUCACCCUCAGACUGAUGGACAGACUGAAAGGACUAAUCAAGUAUUGGAAGAUAUGUUGAGAGCUUGUGCCCUUCAGCAUGGAGGAAGUUGGGAUAAAAGUCUACCUUAUGCUGAAUUCUCAUACAAUAAUAGCUAUCAGGCCAGUCUGAAGAUGUCACCUUUUGAGGCUUUGUAUGGGAGGAAGUGCAGAACUCCUUUGUAUUGGGAUCAGACUGGAGAGAGACAGUUCUUUGGUCCUGAACUGAUUCAAGAAGCAGAAGAACAAGUUCGUAUAAUUCGAGAGAAUUUGAGAGUGGCUCAAACCAGGCAAAAGAGCUAUGCUGAUAAUAGAAGGAGACCACUGGAAUUUGAAGAAGGAGAUUAUGUGUAUCUCAAGGUGUCACCACUUCGUGGAAUGAGGAGAUUCAAAGUUAAGGGCAAAUUGUCCCCUCGCUACAUUGGACCAUUCUUGAUCUUUAGGAGAGUUGGGGAGAUGGCAUACCAACUUGAGUUACCGGAUAGUCUAUCGGAUGUGCAUAAUGGGUUUCACGUAUCUCAACUCAAGAAGUGUCUCCGUGUCCCUGAGGAACAGUUACCAAUGGAAGAGCUUAGUGUUCAGGGUGACUUGACUUACACGGAGUACCCGAUCAAGAUUUUGGAUACUUUGACUCGAGUUACAAGAAAUAAGGUGAUAAAGAUGUGCAAAGUCCAAUGGAGUCACCACGGUGAAGAUGAAGCAACUUAGGAAAGAGAAGAAGAGCUUCGUAUAGAUUUUCCCCACCUUUUCCCUAGAUCUUCUUAAUCUCGAGGACGAGAUUAUUUUUAAGGGGGGUAGGAUUUGUAACACCCACUUUGUAAUUGGUUAGGAAUAAUACCAAUAGAGAAACAAUUUCUCUUCAUAUGAGUUUGAACUUUAUGCAUCAUCACAUGUGAACACUUCACUUAUACAAAUGAAUAAAUAAUAAAAGGCACUCAAACAAAUCAGGCAUCAUGCUGGUAUUUUUAUUUUGCGUGCAUUAUUUAUGACAAAAUAAUAAUAACAAUAAUAAAAGAAAAAUAAUAAUGAGAGGAAAUUUGAAUCCUAAAUUGAGAAUUAGGAUUUGAAGUAUAGAAGGAAAACAUAAAAUGCUAUACAAUACAAAAAAAAUUAUUUAAUAAAUUUAUAAGUAGAUAAAUUUAUUUCACAAUAAUUUAUUCAAAUUGCAUACUCAGAAAUUGAUUACAAGUUCACCAUAAAUUUGAAGAUCAAAUUGAGACUCAAAAAUAAGAGAGAAAAGAAAUAAAAAAAAGAAAGAAAAUUCCAUGCGCUUGGGCUAGCAUUUGACGGUUUGGCCCAUUCUACUUUCCUCCUCUUCUGCUCGUCAUGGCCCGUGGAGGAUUUGGCGCUGACUGGUGGGGCACUAUCGGCUGUGGCAUGACGCGUUUCCUUCUCCACGCUGGUCAUCCACGCCGACGUCAGGGGCCCAGGUGUCAGCUCGCAACGAAACGCACUCCUGUGUUUACGUAGCGCUUAUGGUCACGGGCCUGUGGACCCAAGGGGGUCAGACCACGUUCCCCUGCGCCAUUGCCGCAACCUUCGCGGGGCUGGUAAACUGCCCUGGCGCCGAAUCAUAACGGAAGGGCUCCUUGGGGUUCGGGCACCACAGGGGUGUCUAUAUAUGCCUAGAUGACGACCUUACCCCAUCACCCAGAGCAAGAAAACCUAGCCGCCAUCACCAGAGAGAGAGAGCUCCGUGGGGCGAGUCUGUGUGCCCGCCGCCGCUGCCACCAAUUGUAGUCGUCGUCGCCUCCCAACCUCCGUUGUGCGGUUCCCAGCGUUCUGCAGAGUCGAUAGAUCGUGUACACGGGCCUAAUCGGGCGCUGAGGCCUGCGGUGCAUCGGAAUUUCUCGCUGGUUCUUCAUCCAGGCCGCCGGGCCGCGGGUCACCGAGGGCAGCGCUGCUGUCACCACCAAGAACGGUACGAUGCACUCCAUUACAUUCCCCAUGCUCUCUGCUUUGUUAUGCAAGCGUCAGAAUCGUGUUCUAGGCAGAAAUCGGGGAGUAAGCUAGUGGCCGUUAAUGGCGCGCCGCCGUGCGGUUGGGCUCUGCCGUGGUUGAGCGCUGGGGGUGGAAGACAACACAGGGGCCCUAGAUUUAACAAUGGACGAUCACGAUUAGAUGGAGAGAAUAGCUAGCGACAGCCGUUGGAUCGUUGUUGGGCGGUUCAGAUUUAAUCGCGUGCUCCCCUUCGCGCGAUCCGUUCCUGACCGUCGAUCUCGAGUUAGUCGGCCGGGAUUUAAUGAUGUGUGGAGCGAGCGAUUGCCGUGGAUUCUAGAUCCAGUGGCUCCAGUUGAAUACCGUUUCGUCUCAAGCCGGUUAGAUCCUGGCCCUAGAAUUCUAAUCGGACGGCCCACGUUAGUCCAUACCCCUUCGCGGUGCCAUUUAGCUAAAGAGUCCCUCCACUUGCCAGAAUUAGAACCCGCCAUCCUCUGGCACUAUGCGCUGGGUCUCUGGAUUCUUACCCCGAGCCCCCUGCGUUUCACAUUAAUUGAGGCCCAGUCCAGUGCUGUUUUAAAAUGAGUAAAUGAAUUAGAAAACGUAUUUUAAUACAAAAAUAAGUGCUAAAUCUUCAAUAAUUCAUAGAAAAUUCAUACUUGCUCCAAACUAAUCUAUUCCACUUUCUAAAAUUUUGUAAUUUUAUUCUCUAACAUCUAGAGCCUCUGUUUUAUCAUGACAACAGUAAGAAAAUUAAUUUCACACUUAAUCUCACUUUAAACACAUAAAACCUUUGAAAAUCCAUAACUUAAAAUCUAUAACUCCAAAAAAUUAUGAUUCCUGUUCCUAGGAUUUUAUUUUAAUAUGUAGAUUAUUACUGUGUAUUUUGUUUACAUGCUUGGUGUAAUGUUAAUUUCCCCUGUAUCCUGUGCUUGUUUGUAUUGUGGCGAGUAGAAGAGCACGUGACUGAGGAUCCUGGUGAGCAGCAGGUUGAAGUAGCUGAGCAGGAGCUCAUUGAAGGCAAGUUGUGCCCUUGACCACUUUUUACCCAAUAAUGUUCUCUAAUUAUCAUUCACUCAUGCAUAGGUUAAUUUUGAUGGGACCCAAUAGGUCACCCUAGAUUGUUUAUCUCAUUACCUUGUUUACCCCUGAAUCACUUGGGUAGUUUGCUAUUGCUAUACAUGGUUUUGGGAUAAUCAUUUAUUAUAUCUAUGUUCCAAUUAUUCUUGUUAUUCUGUUUAUGUUCAUGUUGAGAUCAUUAAUGUUAAUUGGAACAUAGAGCUUAACUUGAGAACCACGUGCCACCACAAGGGUUUAAUGGGACGCCCUUGGCUGACUAAUUAGGAAAGCUAGUGGAAGACUACCUUACCCGAAAGGGGCAAGGGCAGUAGGGGAGUGGUCAGUGUAGGGAGGUCCCUGGUUGAUUUUGCUGCGAUGGCGGUCAGCCAGGAACCCUGCAUUGGAACUUCCUAUAAACUGUAGCGGGUUUUCGGAAGCUAGUGGAACUUUGUAAAGGCCUCGUAGUGUUGCCCUGCCGCGCUUCCUAGGUAGAGGUGUAUGGGAUUCGCGACCCCUUGGCAGAUGGGUAACAUGACUUGUGGGUAAAGGGUACAACCUCUGCAGAGUGUAAAACUGGUAUACUAGCCGAGCUCACGAUCAUGAGCAGCUCAGGACUCUCUGAUGUUUAAAUUAUGGAACUUAAAUUCAAUUUUGUCAUUUGCAUUGCAUGGGUUUAGUAUUAAUUUGUUCUAUUACUUUAUUUAAGGUUUGGUAUUUACUUACAUCUAGUAAUUGCUAAUAAAAGUUUGACCAACAUUAAAAGCAAUGCUCAGCUUUAACCAUUCUCUUUGAUAAGCCUUACACUCCAUGAGCUCCCACCUUUGGUGAGUUCAUGUCACAUUAUUCCCCACAACUUGUUGAGCGAUGAUCAUGUGUGAGCUCACCCUUGCUGUCUCACACCCCCCCCACAGGAGAAGAUCAGGUGGUUCAGGAGGAGCCGCCUAACACUGAGGAGUUCGAUCUGAUCUAGGUGGCGUUUCCCAGUUGACAUUGGCGCCGACGAUCCUUAGUUCGUUUUAUCUUUAUUAUUUUAUUUUGUAAUAAGUCUUCCGCUAUGUAAUAAAUACUCUGAUGUUUCAUGACAUUUAUCUCUAUACACUCUGUUAUUAUAUAUGUUGUCUUCUUGGCGCAUGUAUGAGAUGCACCUGGCUUUGUUCCUUAAAGCCGGGUGUGACACCUGUCCCGUGCCCGCGCCUAUAAAGCCCGCCCGAGCGUCGACUGCACUCUUCCGCGCACCCUCAAGCCUCACCGGAGCUCAGUUCACCGCCGUUUGCCCGUGCACGGCGUGUCCGCGGCCACUCGAGCCACUGCCGCCGUAGACCGGCCAGUCCAGCUUUCCCCAGCCCCAUCCAACCCUCUGAAACGAGUAAACAUACCUCGGUGAAGCUCCCCGAGCGAGGAAUCGAAGCCUACUUCGCCGGAGAGGCCAGUCCACGGUCGCCGGAGUUCUCAACCCCGCCGGAGUACGUGGACCGGGUAAUCCACUCAACCUUUUUUUCGAUUCCUUGUCCACACUGUCACUACGUCACCCCAGGAAGCUCACCGUGCCCUUGGAUUGAACCAGAUCGUCGUGGUUUGGCCGGUACACUCGCCGCCGACGAGAACACCCGCCUGCGCACGUGGACCGAGCGAUUCCGGCCAUCCCCGCCGUCGAGCCGCACCUCGCUGUGACCGCCAGAGCCUCCCCGAGCCAACCCUGCCCUUCGCCGGACCUAUCUCGCCACCGGUAAGCCGCGCCACCCUUUUCUUUCCCGCGGGUACUGUUUACAUUGGGGGAAGGACUGCGGGUGAGAGGGAGAGAAGGUAAGGGGGCUUUUUGAACUGUCAACGACUCAGGGGAAUAGUGGCGCAGGGGUAGAUUUGUGCGGGUUGAUUUAGUUUAAACCCAGGGACCUCGGUGUAAACUGUUUUUCCAGGAAACUCUUAUUAAAUCUAUUUUUAAAUUGAACAGAAACUUUAAAAAUUCAUAACUUCUGUUUAGUUCAUCCAAAUUUGGUCAAACCAAUUUUGUCAGACUCUAAAUAAUGUAACCUAUUUAAGAAAAAUAUAAAACCCCCUAUGUACUAUAGAAAACUUUAAAGCUCUGAUUUAAUUAUAGUUUGGCCAAAAGCUCAAUAAUAGAAAGAAAAAUAGUUGUACUAUUUGACUAGGGCUAGAAAAAUUUGGGGAAGUUUAUAUCUACCUACUGACCUGUUUAAAAAUGUUAAACCUCUUUGUCCACUCCAUUAAGCUAGUUUUUACCCAUUAUUCUAUAAUAUGCUUAAGGUUAAGAAAAAUAGAAAAUGUAAUUUAAAUAAUGAACCAGGGGGCACCCCUAUUUUUAUUAGGAUACUUAUUCAAUGUAGUUCACUGGAAAAAUCUAUCAUACCCUGUUUUAGUAUAAAAUGAGUAGGAUACCUUUUAUUUUAAUAAAAUAAGGGAAACUUAGAAAAACCCUACAAAAAUAACCCCAAGGUGAAAACACCCCCACCCUUGGGAUAGUUAAUGUUUUGUUAUUAAGAACUUAGGAAAAAUAUGAAAUCUGCUGUUUGACAUUUUUCAAAUAACAAUGAAGUAGAAAGUGUCUUUUUGACAUUAAACUUUAGAAAAUCAUAACUAAAUAACCACCCCUUAGCUUUCUGUGAUUUUUGGCACAGAAGCCUAUUAUUACUGUUAGAUGCUAGCAAAAAUAACCUUUAGGACAGAACACACCCCCAAUUAGGAGAUGUAGUGUAAGUGGCUCAUUUUAUACAACUCUUGUUAUUUUUGUCUAAAGCAAAACCUUCACAUGUAGAGCCUCAAAUUCUUAAAACAGGCUAGAAUAGCAAUUGGAAACCCACUGUAAUUUUUACAAAAUUUUUGGAGAAAGUUAAACUACUGUUGUAGUUCAAACCCCCACUAGAAUUCAUAAAUAGAAAUUAAAGAAAGGAAAAUGAAUAAUGGAGAUUAGUGUCAUCCUAGAACUCUUGUAAAUUGUCUACUGAAAUACGUAAAGACAAUACAAAUCCACUAUGUUUUUCCUCUAUAAAAACCUAAGCCUAAAGAGUAAUAAGCCUAACCCACUGAAAGCCCCGCAUAACUAAGAAACCCUAAGUUACUUCUUGACUUAGUUUAUUUUUAGCAUAAUGUUAUUAAAUCCUGCAUAAUCAUGACAUACAUGUUCAUUGCAUUUCGAUAGACUGUAACCUUGCUGAUGGAGAGUACGUCCUCGUGCCAGAGCAAGGAGCUGCUCAGGAGGUAGCCCCAGAUCCAGCACCAGAGCCUGCACCAGAGGACCUGCCUGCCACUGCUUUGGAAGGCAAGCCCCAGUUUAUGCAUAACCUGUUAUUUAUGCUAUUUUACUUCACUUAAUGAUUGUAGGAUUGAUUGUGCACUUAGGUGUAGGAAUUGUUUGAAACCCUAGUUGCAUGAUCUCAGGAAUCCUUUUGAGAUGGAUACUAGUAUAAUAGGUCGAGUAGUUGCUUUAUUUAAUUAGGAUCUCGGUAGAAGACGAGUGAUUUUUCUAGCACUCGCGCGAGAUCAGGUAAUUGGUUGUAUCCACUUUCUUCUCAUAAUGAUGCUGGUUGUGGACAACAAUCCAUGGGGAUUGGUUGUUUACGAGAUGGGAAAAUGGAAUAAGGACUAACGUGCGGAUACCUGUGUCAAGCGUUUGAACGUACUAAACACAUGCCGAGAAAUAUGGUAAAUCGGUAAGCCUAGUACCUGAUUGAACCUGGCAGUGAACUUUACCCCUCACGCGACCUGAGACGUGGUCUCCCAUUCCGGUUAUGGUGGGUACAAGUGCGGUCACUGCACGACGGCAGUCGGGGUCAGUGAGGCAUUGUACGCCAAGGCGGUGAGCCCUGAUCUGCUGACGGGGAAUCGAUGGGGACGGUUGAUAUGUGUGGGGACGGAGUGCCCUUACAUGUCGUGUGUUUAGGUUUACCUUGCAAGGAUAAAAACUCGAUUCGAAUCGUCUGCUUCUCGCAGCUAAUGAGACUGCUUGAUCCAUUGUACUGCAUUGAGUAACAAGUGGAAAUAUGAUGAGUUGAUAUAAGAUGUUGAUUGCUAAAAAUGUUUGCUACUAUGUAUGAGUAGAUAGUACACAUUUAGCCUUAAGAGAGUCACACUUAAAUUGACAAAGUUAAAACUUGACUUAGAAACUCAGCUAGUGCUUUUGGCAACCAAACCCCACAGCCAAACAGCUGCAUGUCUAGAGGUAGAGGAGUAGACUCCUCACACCGGGUAAGUCUAGCUGAGUAUUAGUAUACUCAGCCUUGCUUGUGGCAUAAUUUUACAGGUUCCUUGGAGGACAUGGUUGCUGGAGUGACUUGGUCGUCCAUCUUGCCACCGGGUUGGACUGUCGAGUGGGACCCCGCCUCGGCUGAGGAGGAGCAUGAGGAGUGAUGGGACAGGCUUCCCCAUCUCUCUGUUUAAUUACCGUUAGUUUUAUUCCGCUGCACUUCGAACAAUGAUGACUCCUUUUGCAAAACUCCGAUGAUGAUGUAAUAAUUUAAUACUCUUUAAUGCAUGGUUUUAUGCUUUAUUGUAUUUGCUCUGUGACUCACCAUCGAGUGAGAUUGUGGUACUUGAUCCUGUCAGUGGCCGUGUCGGACUAGAUCCGAGGGAUUGAUGGGUUAUUCCCAUUUAAGUGUGGUCCAGCCUCUAAGGCGGGACUUAGGCACUUAAGUUGGAAUAAUUCGGGCAGUUCCGCCACACCUCUGCCACCUCCCCCACCACGAGGAGGACCCGGAGAACCUCGACAACCCCAGCAGCAGGAAGGGGGAGAAGGCGGAGCAUUUCCGCGCAUCGACGGAGAAGUCAACGUCAUCUUCGGCAGACAUGGGUCGCAAGAGAGCAAGAGGCAGCAGAAGCUCAACGACCGUCAGAUACUGAUGGCGGCCACCAGUCCUCCCGCCCCGUAUCGAUGGUCCGAACACCCGAUCACCUUCACUCGGGCAGAUCAGUGGCUCAACUUCGAUCAUCUGGGCAAAUACCCGCUCCUUGUCGAUCCGAUGAUCAGAGAGAGAAGGGUAAAGAAGGUGCUAGUGGACGGGGGAAGCAGCAUCAAUGUCACCUUCCCCCGGACACUCCUAGGCUUGGGAGUCGCACUCAAAGAGCUCCAUGAGUCAGACACUCCAUUCUUCAGCUUUGUGCCGACUGAAGGAGAAUAUCCACUCGGACAUAUCUACAUGCCGGUUACCUUCGGAACUCCGGAAAACUACAGAACCGAGUUCUUGAGGUUCAAGGUAGCAAGCUUCGACUAUGGAUACAACGCCAUCAUUGGCAGGCCGGGAUUGGCGAAAUUCAUGGCCAUUCUGCACUAUACAUACAUGAUAUUGAAGAUGCCGAGACCACAAGGAAUCAUUACCGUGCGCGCUGCCAUUCAGGCGGCCCUCACCACCAAAUCAUCAACGACUUCUUCUGCGCGGGCGAACUCAAAGCCUGAGGAGGAUCUCACAGUACCUGCAAAUGAAGCUCAAGCUGUGACCUCUAUGGAUGUGUUGGUUGCCUAGUUUUGCCAGGGCUAGGUCCUGCCGGUGCAGGCACCUUGUUGUUUGGUUUCCCGUACAACCUCAUGGGCUAGGCCCAAUUGAUGCACCAACCACGCCACAGCCUGGCCAGGCGGAUACCGGAGAAUUGGUCUUCGCUCCUGAGCCAGGUUGCGCCGAUGCAAGCAUGAAACACAAGAAAUCAUUUUAAGUUGGUAUUUAUGUUAUAUCUCUUAAUUAAUACAUCUAAUUAAUAAAACGAUUUUACUUCCGCGUUCCUGCCAUUGUUACGAAUAAAACUAGACUACACUUGCUAUAUAAUUAAUACAUCUAAUUAAUAGUUUUUGUUUAAUACAUCUAAUUCAGAUUAUUGUAAAUCGUAUUUAAUCGUAUUUGUAGUUCAAAUUUGUUGUAAUUUGUUUAAUAGCGCUUAAAAUUUUGAAAUUUGGCGGGAGCUUCAUUUUACACAACAAAAUUGCGCGGCAACCCAAUUGGGCCAAGCUACAAAAAUGAGAACCAAACAAUGUAUCAUAUGGGCCUGGUUCAUUUUGACCAGGCAACCAAACAUUGCUUGUUGACUCUGUAUAUGCGGGCUCUCUUGAGCCUGGUCCUCUCACUGAGCCAGGCUCAGGCCGGGCCAGACAACCAAACACAUCCUAUGCGGCCGACUGAGGAAACAAAAAGAAUCAACCUCGGGUUCGCUGAUGAACGCAAGACCGCUAUCAUCAGCUCUAGCCUGGACGACAAAUAGGAAGGCGCGCUCGUCCAGUUUCUGCAAGAUAACCGAGACGUAUUCGCAUGGCAACCUGUGGAUAUGCCGAGAGUCUCGAGAGAACUGGCCGAGCACAAACUGAAGGUCUACCCCCAGGAGAGAGCCAUUCAAACAUGCUUAGCCGAUCACUGGGGCAAGCGGGUAGAAGCCUAUGUUGAUGAUGUGGUGAUUAAGACAGAAAACUCAGAUAACUUCAUUGAAGAUUUGCAGCUGGUCUUCAACAGUCUGAGGCGAUAUCGGUGGAAGCUCAAUCCAAAAAAAAUGUGUCUUUGGAGUACCAGCAGGGAAAUUGCUUGGAUUCAUUGUCAGCCACCGAGGAAUUGAAGCUAACCCGAAAAAGAUCGAGGCUAUCAUGAGGAUGGAAGCACCACGGUCACAGAAGAAAGUGCAAAGACUUACUGGAUGCAUGGCAACUUUAAGCAGGUUCAUAUCAAGGUUAGGAGAAAAAGUCCUACCAUUCUACAAAUUGCUCAAGAAGGUGGAUAAGUUCCAGUGGACCUCAGAAGCUCAGGAAGCUCUUGAUGCACUGAAGAAGUUCCUGACCACACUGCCAGCGCUAAAGCUGCCACGCCGAGCCACGCCAAACCAGCCGGCGAAAGAUCUCCUGUUGUACAUCUCUUGCACGACUCACGUGGUGAGCACCGCGUUGGUAGUCGAGCGAGCAGAGGAAGGACACGUGUAUCCAGUACGGCAUCUCAUCUACUUCAUCAGCGAAGUUCUGGGGCCAUCUAAGAAGAAGUAUCCUCAAGUUCAAAAACUGUUAUACGCAGUACUUCUAACUGCACGCAAGCUCUGUCACUACUUCAACGACCACAAAGUCAUAGUAGUCAUCGGGUUUCAAUAGGGGAUAUUCUCCACAAUAAAGAAGUCAUUGGAAGAAUAGCCAAGUGGGCCUGCGAGCUGGGAGCUCACGACAUUGAGUUUUGGCCUCGCACUGCAAUAAAGACUCAAGCACUAGUUGACUUCGUAUCAGAGUGGACCGAGCAACAAGUACCAGAUAACCCGGAGACUGCAGAAGUAUGGCGGAUGUAUUUCGAUGGCUCGCUGAAGCUGCAGGGGGCAGGCGCAGGGAUCCUCUUCAUUGAACCUGGAGGUGACCAACUCAAAUAUGCUCUUCAGUUGUUAUUCUCAGCAUCCAAUAAUGCAGCAGAAUAUGAAGCUUUGAUCCACGGAUUGAACAUUGACAUAUCACUGGGCAUUAAGAGGUUGAUGGUAUACGGAGAUUCACUGGUGGUCAUAAGUCAGAUAAAUAAAGAAUGGGAUUGCUCGAAUGACUUUAUGGGCAAGUACUGCAUAGCCGUCCGAAAGCUGGAAGACAAAUUUGAGGGGCUGGAAUUUCAUCAUGUGGAAAGAGAUCGCAACGCGGUAGCAGACGCGUUAUCGAAACUAGGAUCCAGUCGGACCUAGGUUCCACCUGGAGUUUUUGUCCAAGAGGUGCCACGCCCAAGCAUUUCCUCAGAUCAAGCAGAAGAGUGCAACGUUUUAAGCCAGCCAGAGUCAGACUCUAAUGACUGGAGGGAGCCCAUCAUCAGAUAUAUAAAGAAUGAAGAGGAACCGGAUGACAAAGCCACAGCAGAAUGCAUCUCAAGGCAGUCAGCCCACUACACCCUCAUUGGGGAUGCACUGUACAGAAGGGGCGCAACAGGAGUCCUCAUAAAGUGCAUUCCUUCGGUUACUGGGAAGCAACUGUUAGAUGAGAUCCACGCCGGACAGUGCGGGAUACACGCAACAUCUAGGACUCUGGUUGGGAAGGUCUUCUGGUCUGGUUUCUACUGGCCGACAGCAAAGAGUGAUGCAACCGAGUUAGUACAGAGGUGUGAAGCUUGCCAAUUCUUAUCAAAGCAGCAGCAUUUACCUACACAGCAACUGCAGAUCAUACCCGUAACAUGGCCAUUUGCGUGCUAGGGACUAGACAUGAUUGGACCCUUCAAGAAAGCUCAGGGAGGAUACACUCACGUAUUGGUCGCCAUUGACAAAUUCACCAAAUGGAUACAAUACAAACUCAUUGCUUCUCUGACUUCAGCCAAGGCAGUGGAGUUCAUACAAGAUAUAAUAUUCAUGUUUGGGAUACCGAAUAGCAUCAUAACCGACCUGGGAUCCAAUUUCACUAGCUCUGAAAUCUUUGAUUUCUGCGAACAACGAAGCAUCCAGAUCAAAUAUGCAUCAGUAGCACAUCCAAGGGCCAACGGUCAGGUAGAAAGGGCUAAUGGAAUGAUACUGGAAGCACUCAGGAAGAAAGUCUUUGACAAGAAUGAAAAGUUCGCGGGAAAAUGGAUCAGAGAGUUGUCGUAUGUAGUUUGGAGCUUAAGAACUCAACCUAGUCGAGCUCUACAUGGAAAUACUCCUUUCUUCAUGGUCUAUGGUUCGGCGGCAGUGCUACCAGCCAACCUCAGGUUUGGGGCACCAAGGCUGGUCUUCGAAAACAUAGCUGAGGCAGAGGCUACCAGACUAGAGGACAUUGACGUAUUGGAGGAAGAGCGAUUGAAUACAGUAAUUCAGUCAGCUAGAUACCAGCAAACCCUAAGGCGCUAUCAUGACAAGGCCAUACGACAUCGAUCCUUUGUAGUGGGAGACUUGGUCCUUCGUCGAAUUCUAACGGUGGAAGGACGGCACAAAUUGUCACCACUAUGGGAAGGGCCAUUUGUAGUAGCGGAGGUCACUCGGCCGGGAUCAUAUAGGCUUACUCAAAUGGAUGGCACGGAAAUAGGGAAUUCAUGGAAUAUAGAGCAUCUCAGGAAGUUUUACCCUUAGCAAGAUUUCAAAAGCUAUCGGGGGAGCAUUGUAUUCUGUAAUUGGAAAAUAUCUCAUCAAUAAAAGAUUUCAUUCUCAAGGGCACUCGAACUGUUUAUUAUCAAUCAGCACGCUUACUCGGCAUAGGGUGACCACUAUACCCUACUAACGGAGCAAUCGGCUUAAGUCGGCAAUGACUUAAGACGGUGCAACAUGCUCACGCUUACUCGACUAAGGGUGACCACUAUACCCUACUAAUGAAGCAAUCGGCUUAAGUCGGUAAUGACUCAAGACGGUGCAACAUGCUCAUGCUUACUCGACUUAGGGUGACCACUAUACCCUACUAACGGAGCAAUCGGCUUAAGUCGGCAACGGCUUAAGACGGUGCAACAUGCUCACGCUUACUCGACAUAAGGUGACCACUAUACCCUACUAACAGAGCAAUCGGCUUAAGUCGGCAGCGACUUAAAACGGUGCAACAUGCUCACGCUUACUCGACUUAGGGUGAGCACUAUACCCUAUUAAUGGAGCAAUCGGCUUAAGUCGGCAAUGACUUAAGACGGUGCAACAUGCUCACGCUUACUCAACUUAGGGUGACCACUAUACCCUACUAACGGAGCAAUCAGCUUAAGUCGGCAAUGACUUAAGACGGUGCAACAUGUUCACGCUUACUCAACUUAGUGUAACAUGCUCGCAAGACGAUCUAUAUACCUUACCAGCUGAUCAACUAGCGUAAAUAGAAAAAGAUUCCAAAACCAGCGCACUGCACUUACUUCUACAAUCAUUCAUGACAACUGUUGAAUUCUAACAACAGAAACAAAAUGUUAUAGUUUUAGCGCCAAGAACACAUUCUAACAUCCUACCGAAUAUUCAAGCGCGCUGAUCACACAUACAUAUGGUUCACAAAUGCAUUCAAUGUCUUCUAAACACAGCAAAACAACUCUACUUGGCAAUGCCUUUCGCAGGAGCAAUCAAGGAUGAAGGGCGACUCGAAGCAUCAGGUGUAGCCUUGACGUCCGCAACAAUGUCAUUAGGAACAACUACACUAGGCCUUCUCAUCAAGAUUCGCCUCGCAUGGAUGGCUUUGUCCAUAACCUUGUCGCGCUAGGCCUUCAAAACAGCGCAAUUGUCCUCUGCAACCUUGGCAGCCAGUCGAGCGGCCUCUAGCUCCUGGGCGACUGAUCUCUUGGAGGCACGCAGAUCUUUAAUGACAGAGUCCUUGCUUGACACCAACUGCCUGAGCUGCAGGAUCUCAUCCUAGUAUACUUGCAGUUCAUGGCGAUGAUGAUCCAGAUCUGUCAUGGUGAAGCGGUGGCUCCUCUCCAAGAUGGUUAGAGAAUUGUUGGCAUCACGAUAUAACCGAUCCAGAUUGUCGCGAGAAGUUGCAAGUGCUUGUUUCUCUUCCUAUAGACAAGAAUCAGCUCUCAGAUAUCCAGAAAUCAGUAAAAAGCAUGGCAGAUCCAGUUAAGUAGGCUUACCUCGUUAGCCGCCCUUUCAGAGUCAAGCCGAGCAUUAAGAGAGGAAUUCAAAGAAUUUGCGUCGUCUAAAGAAGCAGAAACCUGGGCCAGGUCGACCUGACCUUGGGAAUACUUCUCCUCAAGCUCAGAAUACCGCCAGGUUGAGUCGGUUUGAUACUGAAGAUGUUUCUCCUCGAGCUCAGAGUACCGCCAGGUCAUAUCUAACAAAAAGCAACCAAAGAAAUAUACACGGUCAAAAAACAAAUUAAUUAAUCAGCCAAGGAAGAAGCAGAGAUACCAACCAGCAUUUGACACUUUCAAAUCAGCUAUCUGUUUCUAAAGCAGCAAUGGAUUCCACUGCGUCACGGACAGAGCUCCUUCUGGAAUAGUAGCACCGUGUGAUUUCAAUUGAGCAGACAUCCCAUCAACCAAAGCCUGUUAUUAAAAACAAGUGAGUACGAAGAAAGUAAUUUACCAGGAGGAAUGACAAUGAAAAAAGCUAGUUUACCUGAAGAUUAGAAUAGAAUGAAGGCAGUCCCAAGUCAUGAGAAGUUGUGUCAUAACUCGACGAAGGAAGAUCAACUGGAACAAUCUGAAAAGCAUCAUCGGGGGUUGAUUUAGCUCCACCAGCAGAUAUCAGAAUCCUGUCAUCCAGUGCGCCGACCGCUAAGGCGACUCCCUCACUUGAAGUUAAAGAAGUAUGCAUCACUAUCACUCCAUCAGAAUGUGGUGGAGACGACCUGACGUGGACAUCCAUGGAGGUAUGGGAAGGAGAGCUCGCUCGGACACCCUCGGGGGCUGGCUUGCAGCUCGCACUGCCCGUCGGAGCCGGAUCACUACCGGCAACACCCUCGGGGGCUGGGUUGUAGCUUGCGAUACCCACCCGAGUCGGAUCAUUACCGGAAACACCCUCAGGGGCUGGGUAAUCGCCAGCACCACCCUUGGGGCUGGGUUUUCUGCAACAGCCACCUCUACGGCUGAAGGAUCCUCAGUCACCUCUAUGGGAGUCGGGCAAUCUGGACCAACCUCUUGACACCGAAGACCGCCUUCCAAGGUCGACGAUGCGCGAGAUGCUGCCCGGGAUACCUCUAAUCCCACAUCUGGAAUGUCAGAGCAAACAUCCAUCAUAUCACCAUCAGUCGGCUCUGACAGCAUAUCCUCAGGAACGACAUCCUCAAGGGCCUGAUCAAAAUCUGUUAUGGAUAAUUCUUGCAGACUAACAAGAGCAGACAGAGCUGAAGAAGGAAUAUCACUAUCCCCUCUGCUACCUCUGUAACGCCGACUAUUCUUGCGAAUUAGUGGAACUUCUUCUUCUUCUUCGUCCUCAUCAAAAAUGCGGACAAAGGAUGGGGCAGGAUCACACCCAUCGGGCUCAGCUGCAAUAGGAUUACACCCAUUGGGGUCAGCUUCAGCAGGGUCACACCCAUUGGGGUCAGUCGGUGCACGGUCACACCCAUUGGGGUCAACUUCAGUAGGUACACCACCAGUGGGAUCAACUCCAGUAAAGACCUCUGCUGGUACUUCUUCACAAGCAGGAGCAGAAGGUCCAGCAUCCUGGUCCAAACAUGACAACCGCCAGAGCCGUCUCUUUUUCUUCUUCUUCCCUUCAGCAGGUGCAGUUGGGCGGCUGACCUGGUGAAGAUGCUUUGGGCGAGUACCCUCAGGUUUCGGGUGUCCACUAUUCUGUCAAGCUUUGGUAUAACUGCAACAGCCAUUGUUUCAGUAGGGGUCAAAUCAAAAGAUUCUCCAGCCAACAUAUCAAGCACAUCAUUCAUCUCUGCAUCAUCUGGACUCACUGGCAUUUCAAAAUGAAGUUGCCUCUCAUCAUUGGGAAGAUCACAAAGAGAAGCAACCAAGGCCUCAAUAUCUUCGGGAGAGGGUCGCACUCUUAGACCCAGACCACUAUCACCAGCAGGAGGAUUAGACACGAAAUUGAAAAAGGACUUAGGAGCUGGCAGAUUCCAAGCAGAGUAGGCAACAGGAGCACCAACAUUUGAUACUUUGCCUCUCAAGAUCAUGUCUAGACGGCUCACCAAAUCCUUAGCAGGAAUUCUCCUAUUAGUAACCCGAGUGGAGUCGGUAACACCACUGUACAAGUAAGCCAGGUAUGCUCUGUCCUUCAGGGACUCGAUGUUCUUAAAAACAAAAUCAGCAACCACAGCUUUGGCGGUCAGACCUCUUUCCUUCAGCAGACAAACUUCAGCAAGCAGAACCUUAGCCUCUGUUACUUCCAGGGCAGUAGGAGACUCAAUCCAACUUGGAGUGCGCACAUCUGGCUAUCUUCCCGACCGAGGGGGGAGGGACUUGUCGUGGUUUUCCACAAUAAACCACUCAAGACACCACCCCUUAAUGUUGUCCUUAAGCGGAAUAUCAAGAUAUUCUAUUUUCCUUCCGCGCCGCAUUUCCAAACUCACACCACCCACGAGUUGGUGCUGACCCCCAGCCAUCCCAGGUCGAUAGUGGUACAGAUACUUCCAUAAACCAAAGUGGGGAAGAACUCCGAUGUAGGCCUCGCACAGAUGAACAAAAAUAGAGAUUUGCAUAAUGGAAUUGGGAUUCAGAUGAGUUAGGUUCAGAUUGUAAAAGUCAAGGAGACCGCGAAAGAAAGGAGAAAUGGGAAGAGCAAGGCCGCGGAUAAGAAAAGGAACAUAAACAAUGGACUCGUGGGUAUCCUCUGUAGGGAUAAUAACCCCACGGCAAAUCCGCCAAGAACAAAGCUCUUUCGGAGGAAGAAUUCCAACAUCGACAAGGUGAAGGAGAUCUGAUUAUGAGACAACAGACAUAUGGUUACCUGCGAAAGGCAACUGGCUAUUGGGGUCGAUGGGAGGAAUGACCACCGCAGUAGAAUUUUGGUUCUUCCGCUUGGGCGCCAUCGCAAUCUCGUCAGCGGAUUGAAAGGAAGCGAAAUCAGAGGGAAGCAGAUUAAUGUUUGGAGGAAGGUGAAGUUAGGGCUUAGAAUGCAGAGGCGUGCGGCGACGUGAUAUAAAUGGGGUUUUCCUAGGUCAGACACCAUUUCUAAAAAGUGCUAAGUCAUCACUCGGAAAAAGCAAGACGUCCUGGCAUAACUCGGCAGCUACCUCUAAAGCGCCGAUGUGGCCCCGCAUAACAUGGCAGCUGCCUCUAAAGCGCCGACGUGGCCCAGCAUAACUCGGUAGCUACCUCUAAAGUGCCAACGUGGCCCAGCAUAACUCGAAAGCUACCUCUAAAGCGCUGACGUGGCCCGGCAUAACUCGGCAGCUACCUCUAAAGCGCCGACGUGGCCCAGCAUAACUCGGCUAUUACUUCUAAAACGCCGACAUGGUCCAGAGCAGCUCGGCAAUUAUUUCUAAAAAUGCUGGCAAUGCAUAACUCAGCCGUUUUCUCCAUGUAAAUGUCGGCAGAACCAAAUACGACUGAGCAAUUACCAGUCGUUACUCGGGUGUUAUCUCUAAGAACAACGGCAACGCUGGGCAUGAAUAGAAGCUAUCGAUCAACUAUAAAAGAACGAUGGAAAAGCAAAAAGGAGAGACUCAGAACAAGCCGAAGUUUUCUUCAAUAUAUUGAUAAGGGAAGUUCUUCUACAAACUCAAAGACCAACUCAUUAUGAGCCGGCCUUCCUUCCCUUUUUUGCUACAUUACACUACUACACCACCACACUACUUACACUACUCUAUACUACUAACUACUACUACAUUAUUUCACUAUUACUAAUACUACUUCUACUGCUACUUAUCUAUACUAAUAUUUAAGCCAGUGGCGCUGCCGCCGUCGUCCUUGCUGCUGCCGCCGUCACCCUUGCCGCUGCCAUCGUCGCCCUUGUCGCCGUCGUCGCCCUCAUCAUCGCCGUCAUCACCGCUCCCCUCCUUGGACGAGUCGGAGGAGUCCUCCUCGUCCGAGGAGAUCUCCGACUCAUCCGAGCCCUCGAGCCCAGAGCGCUCGAUGGCCCGGAUAUACGUCCACACCUCGGCGGCGAUCCCCUGGGAAUCGUCUGAGUCAUCGGACGACACCGGGGGAGAGGCGUAGGUUGGCGACCCCUCGGACUUGGAGGAGAACUCCUCCUUUGAGUACUCGGAGUCACCGAAGUCCUCGGAGGGGGGACUCAGCUCGCGCUUCCGCUUGUCGCCGGAGUGGUGCGACGAACUUCCGCCUUUCUUGCUCUUGCCCAUGGUUGAGUAGAAGAGAAGAGAGGAGAAUAAGCAACAAACGGUCGAGAGAUGUGUGAAGACACCAGUGAAGCAAGCGCUCUAUUUAUAGGGGCGGGAUGCAACCGCUCAUCUCCUACAGUCACUAAACAGUCGCAAAUAUUCAAUAUGCAAUUCAAAUCGUCUGGAAACAAGUCAGGUGGCAGACGUCGUUUCACGUAACACGACACCCAUUGGGACUGAAGUCAACUGCUUGGACGAUAUGAUUACAUUCAUGGUCACGUCAAGUUACUACUCAGGGGCAGUUUGCUAAACGCUCAGCGCACCAAGCCGUCCCUUGGCUACACCCAUUAGGGAGGGGACGUCCAGGAAUUUUCAAUAGAUUUUCCCAAGUAGUCACAUCCAUACAGUAUACGCAAUGAAUGUAUCAAGACAGAAGGAAGAUAUCAAUAGAGAUCGGAGGAAAGCCAAAAAUAGCUGGUGAAGUACAAGUCUAAUCAACAGAAGCAUUGAAGCACGAAGAGAAAUGAAGACCAGCUAAGAGCCAUCUACCGGACGUCCAAUCUAUCGCAGAUCAAAUUAAUUUCAAACCUAACAGGACAUGGGUAGAUCGCGUUGUUGAUCUCAAAGGCAAAACCGUAUGCUGAUCUCUAAAGCAUAAAGCUAAUGAUAUAAUGCUGAAUUCUAAGGCAUUCGACGAAGAUAAAAGGAUGAUUUCUAAAAGCACGGAAUGAAGACCUUUGAGUGGAUUAUUUUCAGUAAUCCACUCAAAGCUCGGGGGCUACACCCAGUGCACCCAAUGAAUCAUUAACCACAAAAGACAGAAUGUUGAUCUCUAAAGCAUGAACUAACGAUAAAAUGCUAAUUUCCAAAGCAUGAGAUGAAGAUAAAACAAUGUUGAUUUCUAAAGCAUGAGAUGAAGAUAAAACAAUGAUUUCUAAAAAAGCGUGAGAUGAAGACCUUUGAGUGGAUUUUUUUCAGUAAUCCACUCAAAGCUCGAGGGCUACACCCAAUGAAUCCUGAACCCCAGAGAACAGAAUGCUGACCUCCAUAGCAUAAGCCAGAGACAGAGCACCGAUUUCUGAAGAAUAAAGCGAAGACCGAUGAAUAAUGGCAGGAGAGGAUAACAGAAGAUCGUUUUUACCGAGUUACUCAGAGUUCAGAAGCAGUAACUCGACAAGCCUAUUUUUAGAGCAUUCCUUACCAAAAUCAAAAACUGCAAGUUGGACCUAGAAUCUUUGGGCUGAUUAUUUCAAAAUCAACUCAAAGAUUGGGGGCUUGUGGGGGACAGAUAUCCUCUGGGUCCACUAGAAGGCAAGAAGGCCUCGCGAAAGGCCUCGGGCCCAUUAUCUCGCAAGGUCAUCCCUUCGUGGGCCAGGGGAGGAAUGUCUAGCAGAAUGGAUCAGCAUAAGAUCGGAUUGACUCGAGCCCGUGCGGCCCACUGAAUUCAAACGUUAUCCACAGCAGUGAUCCGAGCGGGUGCGGGCAACUUGGCGAUUCACCUUCCCACCUGCAGCACUAUAUAAACAGACGGGUAGGUGUGAAGUUACCACAGCAUUCAUUGUCAUUGUGUUGUUGUGCUGUUGAAAAAUUUAACCAUAGCCAAAGCUUUUUCACUGCAUUCUCAAGCAAAGCAUCAUCUUGAUUUAGCUUCGACAAUAGAAAGAGCUUCGUCAAAACUGUAAAAAUCAUUAGCUUCGUAAAACCAAAAAAAUCAUCAUCAGAUGGCCAGGGUACGCUCAACUGCAAGGGUGACCCAUGAAGGAGAGGAGGCCGAAGCCACCGAGACGGCUCCAAUCUCCAAAGUUAUGAGGCAAUCGGGAUCGGUUGUGACGGAGGAAGUAAUUGACGAAGGUGCACCUACUGCCGAAGCUGAACAAGCUGACAUCGAAGAAGAAAAUGUUGAUGAAGAAGAGGAAGACUACAACACUCUGAUCCCAUCAAAACCCAGCCAUUUGGACUUUGAAAAAUCUACUGUGUCAAAGGCUGAUGUACCCAUGAUGAUGAAGCUGGGUUACUUCGGAGAAGCUGAGAAGAAACUUAUACGUUUUGCCGGAGAAGAAACCACUCCAGAGCCCAGAAAUGACAAAGUAGUAGUUUACAAAGGUUUUUCAGAGCAGGAUUGCGAUUUCCGCUUCACGAGAUGAUUGGAGAAGUUUUGGAUAACUAUGAAAUCUACCUUCAUCAGCUGACCCCUAACGCUAUCGUUAGGCUGAGCGUCUUCAUCUAGGCUCUUCGAAGCCAAGGAAUGGACCCGAAUGCUGAAGCUUUCUGCCGAGUGCAUGAGCUACAUUACCAGACGAAGGCCAGAGAAGAUGGGCUACAUGAAAAUUUUGGCUGUUAUAACUUCGCGUAUCGCAAGGAUACAAAGGUCCCGGUGCUCAGCUAUCGCACCAAGUGGCCAUCCAGCUAGAAAAGUGAAUGGUUCUAUAUCAAGGCCAAUGAGAAGAAGAGGGAGAAGUUGAAGACGAUAAUCCUGAGCCCACUGAGUUUAAGCUUCGGACUGACUAGGCCCCUGUGCCGCAUGACGUCGGGGUCACCAUGCCAACAAGCUGUAGCAGAAUUCAGGGUGGUGGCUGAAUAGAUCAGCACUAGAGAUCUAGUGCAAGAAUACCUAGCCAACAGGGUAUGUCCAACAUUGAGUGAAUGGAGUAUGCCGAAACUGAAGGGAACGAAGAAAAAGAAUGAACUUGUUCGACUGCCCUAUCGCUUCAAAUUUGAAAAACAAUUCAAAGAGCCUUGCCAAGAGUGGCUAGAAAUGAUUGAGGCUAUGUGCAACGAAAUUUUGGGCAAUUAUACUAAAAAAGAAGAUCAGCUGAUGACUGCAACCUUCGGCACCCGACCAAAACGAAGGUUGAAUCGGGUAAUGGAUGCCUUAAACUUUGAAUAUCUUGACUAUGAGUGACUAUGCAAGGGUGCUGAAGGGCCAAAGAGAAAAAGGGUUGUCAGUAUUAUGAGCAGACAGGCUGCUAGGAUGGUAAAAGAAGAUGAAAAAACUUUGAAAAAGAGAAAAUCAAGUCCUGAGACGAAGGUGGCGACCUCGAAGAAAAGAAAAAGUGCAACUCCAGAGCCAAAGAUGGCUGAGAUAGAAGAGGGAGCUCCUUCGACACCUUCUGCUGCCGAAGUAGAAGAAAUUUUAAAGGUAAUGACCGAAUUAUUACCUAUCAAGUUGCUAAGUCUACUGGGGCUGCAACUGACGAAGCUUUUACAGAAGAAGGACAAGCCUUCGGCAGCAAAGAAGGUGGUUGACCCAAAAAAGCGAAGGAUUGUUACUGUCAUGCAAGCUAUUGAGGAAACACCACCGCCCGCCUCAGCGUCAAAAAUAACACCAGCUGCCGAAGUUGUUGCUUCUGCCGAAGCUCCGACUACCGAACCUACCAACCUGGAGAGUACAUUACCUGAUAUCGAUAAAGUGCUCUUGGAUUUGGCUGCGGAGGAGACUACUGCUUCUGCAGAAGAAGUCCUGGCCACAUUGCCUGAAAAAGGGAAGGAAAUUGCCGAAGAUAUUUCAGAAGAAAAAGACUUCAAUUUUCAAAAUAUAAUUGGUCAAGAAUUAUCCAAGGCUGAGAAAGAGGAGCUGCAGGAGUAUGCUAUAUCCUGUGGCUACCAGCCAGGAGCGAUGCUCUUCGGCAGAAUUAACGAAGAAUCCUUAGGAUGUAUUCGAGAUCGAACUGGAGCGAAGAUUAUCAGCACUCUGUCGAAGAGUGUUAGUUUUUCGAAGCUUGAAGCCGACAUCAGCAGCUACCGAUGACAGCAUAUCGUUGGCAGCUUAUUCUAUUCUAAUUUUAAGGUAAAUUUUUUCCCUUAACUUUUUAUUGUUUUUGCGAUGAAGGUGAUUUCUGAUGAAGGUUAUUUUGUAUAGAGUAUGCUACUAAGUAAAGCCUUGAGGAUGCAACAGGACCUCGAAGAUAAGAAAAAUGAGGUUAUAAUUGAAGGCUUGGAAAGUAAAAUCAAAGAUCAUGAAGCUGCUCUUGAAAAGAAAGAUUUUGUUCUUUAAACAAUGGAGGGUUCAUUGGCAGAGGCCCAAGCCGAAAUUGCCAGAUUAAACAGUGAACUCCUCCUAAAGUCAGAAAACUUCGAGCAAGAAAAGAAGAAUUUUGAUGUAAAGCUUAAAUCUGAAAUUGAAAAAAGUUCAAAUUUGGAGAAAUCCUUGAAAGAGCUUCAGGACAAAUGCUUAAACUUCAGCAACCGGUGCGUGCAACGGCUGAAGCAGGUCUUCAACUCAGUGGGUGCUAGCUCUGAAAAAUUUGAACCUUCGGUUGAAGACCUGCCAAGCACCUUUGAACAUAUUGAGGUCGAAGUUGAGGCGCUUGACGAAGUUAUAGCUAGGCAUGGUGAUUUCUGUGCCUUGCUGGCUUCUCGCGGCACAGUCGUAGCUUUUAUGAAGGCUGGUUGCACGCACGAAAAAAUUGUAAACAGACCGAACUUCAGCCUAUCACCAGCGGAUUUAACUGACAUCCUCAGCCUGGCCCGAAGCAUUGGAAAUAGAUUCAUAACUCAAAUUUGGACGAAGGGUGGGCGGAACUUAGCUUGUGACGAAGCUCAAAGUCAUCUUAAGCCGGUAUUAAACUUGUACCUAUUGCUUACCUUCUCCCGAGAUUUCUAUUUACCUUAUACUGCUUUUUUAUGUUCAGGAUGAUGAAGCCGAAGGUCAAUGAUCCGAAGCUUGACGGAUACUGAUGGAGCUGCUGCAGAAAGCUCUAGAAAAACUUGAAUUAUCUUUGUAGAAAAUAUUGUAAUUUAGGGAUCAAACAUUGCACUUGUAAAUUUGUCCAUACCUUGUAAUAUAUAUUUUUACCUUUCCAUCCGUAUAUGAACUGCUUUGAUGUGGACGAAACUUGUAUUUUUUGAGCCGAAGGCGAAAAACAUCUUCCCUUCUUUUUGUACACAAUGAAGCAUAUCUUUGCUUCUUUAUACUUAUCGAAGCCUUAUCAUCAGAGCCGAAGCAUUUGUUUGUACUCUAUGUUAUGAUGAUGAUGAUCCUACGAAUGUCUAAAUAAAUGUGUAUGAAUGCAAUGAAUGAUGUGAUGUAAUGUGCAAAUGAAUGUCCAUACACACGCAUACAAAGCCACACCCAGACUCUGCAUCCCCUCAGGAACGUCUUUCGAGUCUUAAGCUCUGCAUCCCCUUAGGAACGUCUUUUGAGCUUCUUCACCUUCUAUUUCGGUGGUAUAAGUUCUGCAUCCCCUUAGGAACGUCUUUUGAACUUCUUCGCCUUCUAUUUCGACGGUAGUUGGCUCUGCAUUCCCUUAGGAACGACUUUUGAGCAGAAAACUUACGUUGCGCUCUCUUAGGAACGUAUUUUUGUAGCUUCGUCGUGCUCUGCAUCCCCUUGGGGACGACUUUUGAGCUUCUCCCUGCUCUUUUUUCUCUCCGCACUCGAUGGUGCAUGCUCAGAUUUUACAUUUUACAUUCUUUUGGGGGAUUUGGCUCUCGUGGAGCUAAAUAAGAAAGGAAAAAUUACAAGCUAUGGCUCCAUUAUAAACCUUUCUCCCCCUUUGGAAAGGAAAAGGGUGCCAUAGAAAAAAUGAAAAAAGAUUACACAUAAUAUCGCCGAAGCUCAUCUAUAUUCCAAGAUCUAGGUAUGUCGUUGCCGUCCAUCUCCUUCAAUCUGUAAGAACCGGGCUUCGACGAAGAUACCACCAGAAAAGGUCCUUCCCACUUCAGCUGCAAUUUGCCUACUCUGUUCGGAUUGGCCACUCUCUGAAGCACCAAAUGCCCUGGCUUAAUAUUUUUCAAUCGGACUUUUAUGUCACGCCAUUUUAUUGUUUUGACUUGAUAUUUAUAGAUGUUCUCCACAGCCUGAAGUCUGGUCCCUUCUAUAGUAUCUUUUGCUACAUGGUAAUCAGCUUUGUCUUCUGCCAAAGCUGCUGUUCUUAUUGACCCUGCUUUAGCUUCUUCUGGGGUUAUAGCUUUGUCACCAAAUAAUAGUUUAAAAGGUGUAAAACAUGUUGAUCUUGAUAUGGUUGUAUUGUGGCUCCACACCACUUUAAUCAACUCAUCUGGCCACUUUCCUCUAGGCUGAUUGAAGAUUAGCUUCAUUAUUCCCGUCAUUAUAAUGCCAUUUGCUCUUUCGACCAGCCCGUUUGACUCCGGAUGCCUAACUGAUGCAAAAUGAAUCUUCAUGCCAAUUUGAUCACAGAAAUCCUUGAACGUUUUGGCAUCAAACUGUGUUCCUGUUGGGGACUUGUUCUCAAAUGCUAUGAAUCAAGAACAAGGCAACAUAAAGUGUUAAAUGUUAAUGUCCUUCGUCCAACGAAGCAUUAUUCCCUUGGGGUUUAAUGGACUUUGGAUGAAGGUUGAUUACAGCGCAAUUACGAAGAAUAAAUCUUCGUAAUUGUAUUCUGAUAGAUGGUAUAAAAUAACACAAAGUAUAAAGUAUUAAAGAUAAACGAAUCAUAAACGAAUCAUAUUGCAUUUACUUAGUAUUAUUGAAUACAGUUAUACCUCUGCCUUGGCAAAGAUUGAUUUCCGAAUGAUACGAUUGCAGAUACCGGAAUCCGUGAACAGUAGAGGAAUACUGUUCACUAUUUAUAGGCACAGGGCGCAGCCUGUGAGAGAUUACAAGUUUGCCCCUUAUGAAAGUUUACAACAUUGACUCAGACCUUUAUGGACUAAGAGGUCAUUCUAUCUUUAAGUCGGUUUGUAAUACCGAAGCUUCACAAAUAGGAACCUUCGGCUAUCUUAUACAAACAGCUUCAGCCGAGGACCACUUCUUCCUAUAAGACCUUCGGCGACGAAGCAUAGACCCAACAGUAGCCCCUUUCGCGGUGCUAGAUCGUUUUUCGUAAUGAGCUUGAUCCGUGAAAAAAGUCUCUUAAGCUUCGGAGCGCCGAAGGUCUAAAAAACACCUUCCCUUAGCUCGUUGUCGAGAAACGAUUCGAUCUCAAAGCGUGUAGCGGCCCCACCUUGCAGAGUUACUGUUCAGUCUCUGCGGUCCACCACGCAGCGAGUGCGAGCGGGUGUCCGCCUGGUGCAAAAAUUCUGGCGCUUCGCCUUCUUACCUGCAGCACUAUAUAAACAGACGAGUAGGUGUGAAGUUACCACAGCAUUCAUUGCUAUUUGCACUGUUUUGCUGCCAAAAUUUUUAACCGUCACCGAAGCUUGUCUGUCAGAAUCGAACGAAGCUCCAGUUUGAAACCUGCUUCGGAGGAAGAAAGUAUUAACGUUCCACAAGUUCAUAAUUGAAUGGCCAGAGUGCGUUCUACUGCCAGGGUUGAGCGUGAGGGGGACGAAACUGAAGCUUCGGAGACUGUUCCCAUCUCCGAAGCUAUGCAACGAUCUGGGCUGGUGAUUUCGGAAAAAAUCCCUCAUGAUGAUGCAGAACAAGCAGAACAAACAAUCGCUGAAGCAGAAGAAGAAGAUAUGGAGGAAACUGAUUCUGAAGAUGAUUAUCGCAUUGCCAUGCCAAGCAAACCCAGCCACUUAGACUUCGGGAAAUCUACUGUUUCGAAGGCUGAUCUGUCCAAGAUGGUAAAAUCGGGCUUUUUUACUGAAAAUCAGAAGAAGCUAUUGCGCUUCGGGGGAGAAGAGACUACCCCAAAGCCGGAGAAGGAUGAAAUUGUUAUUUUCAAAAGCUUUCUAAAAGCUGGAUUAAGGUUCCCCCUACAUGGGAUUAUUGCCGAGGUACUGAAGAGAUUCGGUAUUUAUUUUCACCAGCUGACCCCCAAUGCUAUUGUUAGACUUAUUGUUUAUAUCUGGGCACUCCGAAGCCAAGCAGUGGAACCAUUUGCGGACAGCUUUUGCCGGGUGCACGAGUUGCAUUAUCAAACGAAGGCUAGGAAGGAUGGAUUACACGACAAUUUCGGUUGUUAUAACUUCGCCUAUCGGAAAACUACAAAGUUUCCUGUAAUUAGCUACCGAAGCAAAUGGGCAGCAGGCUGGAAAUCUGAGUGGUUCUAUGUCAAAGUUGAUGACGAUAAGGAAAAGCUUGUACAAAGUCCACUUGAAUUAAUCUUCGGAGAAACCCGACCUCGCUGCAACAUGACACCCGAAGGUCCAACACAACAAGCAAUGAGUGAAUUCAGAAUUAUUGCAGAGCAUAUCAGCACAAGGGACCUGGUUCAAGAGUUUUUAGCUUUCAAAGUUUUUCCCAGUUUAAAAGAAUGGGAAAUGCCGAAGCUACAAGGGGAAAAGAAAGAAGGUGAACUUGUACGUUUACCUUACUACUUCAAGUUUAAGAAAUACUUUAAGGCACCUUGCCAAGAGUGGUUGGAAACGAUUGAAGCGAUGUGUAAUGAAAUACUUGGCAAUUAUUCUAAAAAAGAAGAUCAGUUGAUGACCGCAGCCUUCGGCACCCGCCCGAAGCGAAGGCUAAAUCGAGUGUUGGACGCCUUGGGCUUCGAUUAUCCUGAUUAUGAAAAUCUGAACAAAGGUGUUGGGGGCCAAAAAAGAAAAAGGAUAACUGAGGCCAUGAAUGAAGAAAAAGAACCAGUAAAGAAGAAAAUUCCGAAGAAGAGGAAAACUUCUUCUCCGAAGCAACAAAUAUCCGAAGCAGAAGAAACCCCCGCAUCACCUUCUGCAGCUGCCAUUGAGGAAAUUCUGAAGGUAAUGACUGAAUCCUUACCUGCGAAGCUAAGUCCACUGGGCCCUCAACUAACAAAGUUUUUUCAGAAGGACAAGGAGCCCGAAAAAUCGAAGAAAACAAUCAGGGCAAAGAAACAAAGAAUUAUUACCGUGACUGAGGUAAUUGACAAGACGCCGCCAAGAGCUUCAGCCCAGAAAACACCAGCGGCCGCAGAGGAGACAGAUAUUGAAAUUGCACCUUCGGAGGCCGCAGCUGCCGAAGCUGCCUCAGCUGAAGGUUUGAACUUGGAGAGCACAAUUGAACACAUUGACCAAAUACUGCUAGACAUGGCUGCGGAAGAAGCUACCACCGCCGCCGAAGAGGCCGUGACCGCAGCGUCGGGAAAAGGAAAAGAAAUUGCUGAUGAAGCUUCAGAGAACGAGACCUUCAUGUUUCAGAAUUUAGUUGGAGAACAACUAUCAAAAACUGAAAUAGAAGAGCUUAGAGAGUAUGCCAAAUCCUGUGGAUACAAACCUGGGGCCCUCCUCUUCGGAGGCGUUGAUGAUGAGAAAUUAGAUUGCAUUCGAGAUCAAACUGGAGCCAAAAUUAUCGGUACUCUGUCAAAGAGUAUCGGCUUCCCGAAGCUGGAAACAGACAUCAGCCGCUACCGACGACAACAUGUCGUUGGUAGUUUAUUUUAUUCCAACUUCAAGGUGAUACUUGUCCCUUAACUCUAUUGUUUCUAAGAAUAAAAACAUGUCUGACGAAAGUCAUUUUCGUGCAGAGUAUGCUGUUGAGUAAAGCCUUGCAAAUGCAGCAAGAUAUUGAAGAUAAGAAGCAUGAAGUUAUAAUUGAAAAUUUGGAAAGCAGAAUAAAGGAGCAAUCGGAUGUUAUUGAGAAAAAGAACUUUGAACUCCAGGCAGCCGAAGGUUCAUUGGCGGAAGCUGAAGCAAAAAUAACAGAACUAAACACGAAGCUUCUCCGCCAGUCUGAACAGUUCGAACGAGAAAAGCUAGAGCUUAAUGCAAAACUUGAAGCCGAAGCUCAAGAAAAUUCAGAUUUGAGAAAACUAUUGACAGGCCUUCAAGAAAAAUGUCUGGAAUUUAGCAACAAAUGCAUUCAACGCUUAAGAAAGAUUUUUUACUCAGUUGGAGCCAGUAGUGAAAAAUUCACCCCCUCAGCUGAAGAUCUACCAAAAACCUUCGAACAUAUUGAGGGGGAGAUUGACGAGCUCGACGAAGUCAUAGCUGGGCAUGGUGACUUCUGUGCCUGGGUGGCUUCUCGAGGCACUGCUGCAGCUUUCCUGAAGGCUGGCUGCGAUCAUGCAAAGAUUGUCAAUAGGCCAAAUUUCACUUUCUCACCAUCAAUCCUGGAUGACAUUCCUGAUCUCGCCCGGAGUAUCUCGAAUAGAUUUGUAAAAAUGAUAUGGACAAAAGGUGGUCGAGAAAAAGCUGGAGACGAAGCUCGUAGCCACCUUGAACCAGUAAGAAACCAUACCUUGUGCUUACCUCUUCCUGUAAGCUUGAUUUUGACUUACAACGACCUUAAUCUUAUAGGAUGACGAAGCCGAAGCCGAAGCUCAAAAAUGACGCCGAAGCCGAAGCUCCUUAGAGAUUAGAUAGUAGACUGUAGACAGUACUUGAGAAACUUUUGAGAUAACUUUUGUAAAUGUAACUAAAACUUUUGAGAUAACUUCUGUUCAUACCUUGUUAUAUAUCCUUAUCCUUCCAUUGAUGUAUGAGAAAUGCUUUGAUGUGGACGAAAUUUUCUUUUGAGCCGAAGGCGAAAAAACACCUUCCCUUCUUUUCGUACGCCGCAAAGCAUAAAAACAAUAUUUUUCCUUUUUUCCGAAGCUUUCCUUUUUGUACACGAAGCUCUUUCUUCCCCCUUUUUUUUCUUUUUGCCGAAGCAACCAUUUAUGCCAUGAAAAUGAUUAUCCUACAGAUGCCUAGAUGAAUGUUUAUGAAUGCAAAUGCUAUGAUGUAAUGCGAUGUGCAAAUGAAUGGCUAAACACGUAUCCGAAGCCAUAUUCAUAGCCAUUAAAAACAAUCGCACCUCAGCUCUGCAUUCCCUUAGGAACGACUUUGGAGCUUCUUCGCCUUUACUUUUGGUGGAAUCAGCGUUGACUUUUCGCUGUAAGCUCUGCAUUCCCUUAGGAACGACUUUGGAGCUUCUUCGCCUUUACUUUUGGCGGAAUCAGCGUUGACUUUUCGCUGUAAGCUCUGCAUUCCCUUAGGAACGACUUUGGAGCUUCUUUGCCUUUACUUUUUGGCACUCUAUGGUGCGUUCUCAGCUUUUACAUUUACAUUUUUUGGGGGAUUUUGCUCUUAUAGAACUAAAAAAGGAAAUUACAUGUGCUGGCCCCAUUAAAAACCUUUCUCCCCCUUCGGAAAGGAAAAGGGUGCCAUAAAAGAAAAAUAUGAGAAAUUACACCGAGUUAUACAUAAUAUCGCCGAAGCUCAUCCGCAUUCUAAGACCUAGGAACGUCGUUGCCGUCCAUAUCCUUCAGUCUGUAUGAACCGGGUCUUGACGAAGAUGCUACUAAGAAAGGUCCAUCCCAUUUUAACUGCAACUUGCCCACUGUUUCUGGGUUGGCCACUCUCCGAAGCACCAAGUGUCCUGGCUCAAUAUUCUUUAACCGAACCUUUCUAUCUCGCCAUUUAAUUGUUUCGGCUUGAUAUUUAUUAAUGUUCUCCACGGCUUGCAGCCUGAUGCCUUCUAAAGCAUCUUUUUCCACAGAAUAGGCAGCUUCGGAACCUGAUUCUGCCGAAGCUAUUACCCUUAUUGAUCCGGUUUUAGCUUCCUCCGGAGUUAUUGCUUCGUCACCGAAUAAUAACUUGAAUGGAGUAAAACCUGUAGACCUUGAUAUUGUUGUAUUGUGGCUCCACACCACUUUGGUUAACUGAUCUGGCCAUUUUCCCCUGGGUUGAUUGAAGAUUAACUUCAUUAUUCCUGUCAUUAUGAUGCCAUUGGCUCUUUCAACGAGUCCAUUUGACUCCGGAUGUCUGACUGAUGCAAAAUGGAUCUUCGUACCAAUUUGAUCACAGAAAUCCCUAAAAGCUUCGGAAUCAAACUGUGUUCCAUUAUCCACAGUAAUAGCCUUUGGUACCCCGAACCGACAAACAAUAUUUUGCCAGAAAAACUUUUGGACGGUGGCCGAAGUUAUUGUGGCUAAAGGCUUUGCCUCAAUCCAUUUGGAAAAAUACUCCACCGCCACUACAACAUAUCUUAGGUUCCCUUGGGCCGGUGGUAACGGACCUAACAAAUCAAGGCCCCACCUUUGCAAUGGCCAAACGGGUUGUAUGAGCUGUGUUAAGGACGAAGGUUGUUUUUGAUCUCGUGCACAUUUCUGACAACCUUCGCACUUUUGAACUAAUUCCGCCGCAUCCGAAGCUGCCUUCGGCCAAUAAAAUCCUUGGCGGAAAAUUUUUCCAAGUAACGGCCUAGACCCAAUGUGAGAUCCACACAUGCCUGCAUGUACCUCUUUCAUCAACUCUAUACCUUCGGUUCUGGAUAAACAUUUGAGUAGCGGAGCACAAACUCCAUGCUUGUACAACUCCCCUUCUAUCAUGACAUAUGGACGAGCUCUUGCCUCUAUCCUCCUGUUAUGAGCUUCGUCAUCUGAAAGGAAUUUUCCCUGAAGAUAAGAGAUGAUCUCAGUUCUCCAAUCUUCGCUAUACACAGGAGAUAUACUGAGGACUGCCCUUUCAAGAAGUUCCACCGAAGGUGCUUUUAUUGUUUCGAAGAAUACAUCUGAAGGUAAAGGCAGCCCCUGUGCUGCUGACUUAGCUAACAAAUCAGCAUGUUCAUUCUGUCCUCGAGGGAUAUUUUUGACAGAAAAUCCUUCGAAGGAAGCUUCAACUCUUCGAACCAUAUCCAGAUAUUUUUCAAGCUUCGGAUCCUUAGCCUUGCAACUCUUGUCAAUAUGACCCGAAACAACCUGGGAAUCAGUUUUGAGUAUAGCCCUUCUGAUUCCCAUUGCUUUUAGCUUCCGAAGACCUAGAAGCAAGGCUUCGUACUCGGCAAUAUUAUUUGUGCAACUAAAAUCAAGCUUUGCCGCAUAACAAGUUUUGACCUUGGAAGGUGAAACCAACACAGCAGCCGCUCCUGCUCCGAAGGUUCCCCAAGAUCCAUCACAAAACACUAUCCAUGCUUCGGCGUCUUUAUUUGCUUCUUCCUCCUGAGCCCCUGGCGUCCAGUCAGCAAUGAAGUCUGCUAACGCCUGGGACUGAAUUGAAGAUCUAUGAACAUAUUCAAUACAAAAUUCAUUGAGCUCUGCAGCCCAUUUUCCAAUCCUUCCAGUAGCUUCUCGGUUCCUCAUAAUAUCCUUCAGAGGUUGUGAAGAAGGAACAAUUAUGUUGUAAGCUUGAAAAUAAUGCCGAAGCUUUCUGGAUGCCAUCAAAACAGCAUAUAACACCUUCUCUAAUUCUGUAUAGUUUUUUUUGAUAAACUGAGAACUUCAGAUACAAAAUAUACUGGGACCUGUUUCCUGGCUUGGCCAUCAAGCUUCUCCUGGACAAGUGCUGCACUUACCGCUGAGUGCGAAGCUGCCACAUAUAAUAAUAAAGGAGCCCCUGGCAUAGGUGGAGUUAGUGCUGUUAGAUCUAUUAAAUACUGCUUCAGCUCUUCGAAGGCCUUCUGCUGGAUUGGUCCCCAUUGAAAGACUUCGGCUGACUUCAGCACUUCGAAGAAUGGUAAGUUUCUCUCUGCUGAUCUGGAUAUGAAUCUAUUGAGAGAUGCCAACCUUCCUAUCAAUCUUUGGGCCCCCUUUUUUGUAGUUGGUGGCUCCAUCCGAAGUAUAGCUUCAAUCUUACUUGGAUUGGCUUCAAUUCCCUUUGUUGAAACCAAGCAUCCUAGAAAUUUCCCCUUCUUUACUCCGAAGACGCAUUUUUCUGGAUUCAACUUUAAACCAGCUUGUCUGAAACUGGCGAAGGUCUCCUGCAAGUCAGCAAUAUGAUUCUCCUGCUUCGUGCUUUUGACAAUGAUGUCAUCAACAUAAGUUAGCACAUUUCUGCCUAUCUGAGACUGGAGAACUUUCGCAGUCAUUCUGCUGAAACUUCCUCCAGCGUUUUUGAGCCCCUCAGGCAUCCGAAGAUAACAAUAUGUGCCACUUGGAGUUAUGAAGCUAGUCUUUGGCUCAUCUUCCUUCUUCAUCCAAAUUUGAUGAUAGCCUGAAUAACAGUCUAACAGACUCAUGAGCUCUGAAGAAGCUGCUGCAUCAACUAAAGAGUCUAUCCUUGGCAAUGGGAAUUCAUCCUUCGGACAAGCCUUGUUAAGAUCUGUAAAAUCAAUACACAUUCGCCACUUGCCAUUAGCCUUUUUUACCAUAACGGUAUUAGCUAGCCAUUCUGGGUACUUUACUUCUCUGAUGACUCCUGCACUGAGGAGUCUUUUGACUUCGUUACGAGCACCUUCGGCCUUAUCAUCUGACAUUUUCCGAAGCCUCUGUUUUCUGGCUCUGAAGGAUGGAUCAACAUUAAGCGAAUGUUCAAUAACAUCCCUAUUUACUCCGCAGAGAUCAUUAGCUGACCAUGCAAAAACAUCUUUGUUGUUGAACAAAAACCUUAUCAAGGUUUUCUCCUGCUCUUCGGAUAAUUGAGAGCCUAACAGCACCUUCUGCUCUGCUAUGUCCUCACAUAAGAGCAUAGGCUUCGGCUGAUCUGCUGAAGCUGCUUUCUCCCUUCUGAACUUGUACUGCUCACAAGCUUCAGCUCCAUCUAUGUUAUGGAUUGCUUUUGAGUCAGUCCAAUUACCUUCGGCCUUUCUGGCGGCUUCCUGACUUCCAUGUAUAGCGAUGGGUCCUUGAUCCGAAGGUAUCUUCAUGCAAAGAUAGGCAGGAUGAAGAAUUGCUUCGAAAGCAUUGAGGGUGCCACGACCAAUAAUUGCAUUGUAAGGGUAUUCCAUAUCAACAAUGUCAAACACAACUUGCUCAGUUCUAGUGUUGUUGAUGAAGCCGAAGGUUACUGACAUGGUGAUUUUGCCCAAUGCUACAAUAUGUCUCCCUCCGAAGCCACAGAGAGGAUGUGUAGCAUCAUGAAUCUUAUCUUCUGGCUCUUGCAUUUGUCUGAAGGCCUUAGCAAAUAUGAUAUCCGCUGCACUGCCUGUGUCAACCAAGACAUUAUGGACCAGAAAUCCUUUGAUAACACAAGAGAUAACCAUGGCAUCAUUGUGUGGGUAAUCCUUGAGAUGAAGAUCCUCUUGGGAGAAGGUAAUGGGAAUGUGAGACCAUCUUGACUUGAUGAAGGGUCCUUGCACCCCAACAUGUUGUACCCUUCUCUGUGCUUCUUUCUUUUGUUUCUUGUUAGCUGGUUCUGAGGAUGAACCACCUGUGAUCGGGAGCACCAGCUUCGGGUCCGAAGCAGCUCCAGCUUGGUCAUUGAACGAAGCCAUCAGUUCGAGAAGUGGAAGUGAGUUCACCGGAGGUGGGCGCCAAUGUUGGGGACUUGUUCUCAAAUGCUAUGAAUCAAGAACAAGGCAACAUAAAGUGUUAAAUGUUAAUGUCCUUCGUCCAACGAAGCAUUAUUCCCUUGGGGUUUAAUGGACUUUGGACGAAGGUUGAUUACAGCGCAAUUACGAAGAAUAAAUCUUCGUAAUUGUAUUCUGAUAGAUGGUAUAAAAUAACACAAAGUAUAAAGUAUUAAAGAUAAACGAAUCAUAAACGAAUCAUAUUGCAUUUACUUAGUAUUAUUGAAUACAGUUAUACCUCUGCCUUGGCAAAGAUUGAUUUCCGAAUGAUACGAUUGCAGAUACCGGAAUCCGUGAACAGUAGAGGAAUACUGUUCACUAUUUAUAGGCACAGGGCGCAGCCUGUGAGAGAUUACAAGUUUGCCCCUUAUGAAAGUUUACAACAUUGACUCAGACCUUUAUGGACUAAGAGGUCAUUCUAUCUUUAAGUCGGUUUGUAAUACCGAAGCUUCACAAAUAGGAACCUUCGGCUAUCUUAUACAAACAGCUUCAGCCGAGGACCACUUCUUCCUAUAAGACCUUCGGCGACGAAGCAUAGACCCAACAGUUCCAUUGUCCACAGUUAUAGCCUUCGGCAUACCAAAGCGACAAACAAUAUUUUGCUAGAAGAACUUCAUGACUGUAACCAAAGUUAUUGUAGCCAAAGGCUUCACUUCAAUCCACUUAGAAAAAUAUUAUACAGCCACCACAACAUAUCUCAAAUUAACUUGCGCUAGUGGAAGUGGGCCUAACAAAUCCAGGCCCCAUCUUUGCAACGGCCAAGUAGGCUGUAUUAGCUGGGUGAGAGAUGAAGGUUGUUUCUGGUCUCUUUCAUAUUUUUGACAAUUUUCACAUUUUUGAACUAGCUCUGCUGCAUCCGAAGCUGCCUUCGGCCAGUAAAAUCCUUGUCUAAACACUUGUCCCAACAAGGGCCUAGACCCAAUAUGAGAUCCACACAGACCUGCAUGUAUCUCCUUCAUUAAUUCAAUACCUUCAGCUCAUGAUAAACACUUGAGUAGUGGAGAACAGACUCCAUGUUUAUAUAAUUCCCCUUCUAUUAUCACAUACGAUCUUGUCCUUGCUUCCAUUCUCUUAUUAUAAGCUUCGUCAUCUGAAAGACAAUUACCUUGGAGGAAAGAUAUAAUUUCAGUCCUCCAAUCUUCACUAUGUACUGGGGAAAUUGCAAGCACUGCUCUCUCCAUGAGUUCAGCCGAAGGUGCCUUUAUUGUUUCAAAAAAAUACUUCCGAAGGUAGAGGGAGCCCCUGUGCUGCUAACUUGGCUAGCAGAUAUGCAUGCUCAUUUUCUCCUCUUGGAAUAUUCUUGACAGAAAAACCUUCGAAAGAAGCCUCCAACCUUCGCACUGUAUCCAGAUAUUUUUCAAGCUUCGGGUCUCUUGCCUUGCUACUUUUGUCUAUAUGGCCAGAAAUGACUUGAGAAUCAGUUUUCAGGAUGGCCCUUCUUAUUCCCAUUGCCCUUAACUUCCGGAGCCCCAACAGAAGUGCUUCGUAUUCAGCAAUAUUGUUUGUGCAACUGAAGUCAAGCCUUGCUGCAUAACAUGUUUUGGCUUUUGAAGGCACGACUAGGACAGCAGCCGCUCCUGCACCGAAGGUUCCCCAGGAACCAUCGCAGAACACUGUCCAAGCUUCGGCGUCUUUGUUUAUUUCUUCUUCCUGAGCCCCUGGUGUCUAGUCAACGAUGAAGUCUGCUAACACCUGGGACUGAAUUGAGGAUCUAUGCACAUAGUCAAUAGUGAAUUCGUUAAGCUCCGUAGCCCAUUUUCCAAUCAUUCCAGUAGCUUCUCUGUUUCUCAUUAUGUCCUUCAGAGGCUAUGACGAAGGAAUAAUUAUGUGGUAUGCUUGAAAAUAAUGCUGAAGCUUCCUGGAGGCCAUUAACACAGCAUACAACACCUUCUCCAAUUCUGUAUAUUUUUUCUUUGAUAAACUUAAAACUUCGGAGAUGAAGUACACUAGAGCCUGCUUUUUGACUUGGCCAUCUAGCUUCUCCUGUACAAGUGCCGCACUCACUGCAGAGUGCGAAGCUGGCACAUACAAGAGCAAUGGAGCCCCUGGCGAAGGUGAAGUUAGUGUUGUUAAAUUAAUCAAGUAUUGCUUCAACUCUUCGAAAGUUUUUUACUGAGUCGAGCCCCAUUGAAAAACUUCGGCUGACUUCAGUGUUUCAAAGAAUGGCAGAUUUCUUUCUGCUGAUCUGGAUAUGAAUCUGUUUAAUGAUGCUAAUCUACCUGCCAGUCGUUGAGCCCCUUUCUUUGUGCUUGGCAGCUCCAUCCGAAGGAUAGCUUCAAUCUUGCUUGGGUUGGCUUUAAUUCCCUUUGUUGAUACUAAACAGCCAAGGAACUUGCCCUUCUUCACCCCAAAAACACACUUUUCUUGAUUUAACUUCAGGCCAGCUUGCCUGAAAUUGGCAAAUGUCUCAUGCAAAUCAGCAAUGUGAUUUUCUUGCUUCGUGCUUUUCACUAUGAUAUCAUCAACAUAGGUCAGUACAUUUCUGCCUAUUUGAGAAUGAAGGACCUUGGCUGUCAUUCUGCUGAAGCUUCCUCCAGCAUUUUUAAGCCCCUCAGGCAUCCAAAGAUAGCAAUAUGUGCCACUGGGGGUUAUGAAGCUAGUCUUCGGCUCAUCCUCCUUCUUCAUCCAUAUUUGAUGAUAGCCUGAGUAACAAUCCAGUAGACUCAUGAGCUCUGAAGAAGUUGAUGCAUCUACUAGAGAGUCUAUUCUUGGUAAUGGAAACUCGUCCUUUGGACAAGCCUUGUUAAGAUCUGUAAAAUCAAUGCACAUUCUCCAUUUACUGUUGGCCUUCUUCACCAUAACAGUGUUGGCUAGCCAUUCUGGUAUUUCACCUCUCUGAUAACACCAGCACUAAGAAGUCUCUUUACUUCGUUCCGAACACCUUCAGCUUUGUCUUCAGACAUUUUCCGAAGCCUUUGCUUUCUUGGCCUGAAGGAUGGAUCCACAUUGAGUGAAUGUUCAAUGACAUCUCUGUUGACACCACAGAGAUCAUUGGCUGACCAAGAAAAGACAUCUUUGUUGUUGAAUAAGAAUCUUAGCAAAGUCUUCUCUUGCUCUUCAGAUUGCUGAGACCCCAGCAGUACCCUUUGUUUUGCUAUGUCUUCACAUAGGAACAUAGGCUUCGGCUGAUCCGCUGAAGCAGCCUUCUCUCUUUUGUAUUUAUACUGCUCACAAGCUUGGGCUCCAUCUAUAUUAUAGGAACACAAGCUUCGGCUGAUCCCCCUGUAUUAAUUUGUUCACCUAUUUAUAGGCACGGGACGCCGGAAGUCGGUGCAGCCCUUCGUCUCAAGGCAUGUCGCUAUGCCGAAGCUCCUUGGAUGGUAGCUUCGGCGCGUACCUUCGCUCUGUGUUUGCUUCUGUGCUUAUCUUUCAAAGGUGUUUCUUCUUAAAGGAUCUUCGGCGAUGAAGCAGACCCCCAACAACUAUGUACACUGACUACUAUGAAAUUCUUAGAUUUCACUUAAGACCGAUAUGGCAAUGCUACUCGCUUCUAAAUACUUUGGGUAGCUAGUAACAUUCGAUCACGACAUAGAUUAUACUAACUGUUACGUAGAAUAUCGACUUCAUCAAAUUAUUAAAAUAGGAACAAACACAAUGAAAGAUCUUGUUAGCUAGCUGAUUAAAAUAUUAAACUUAUCUGUCACGCCAUUAACUAGAUCAUACAACGCCUCCAUAUCUACCAUUAUACUUUGCAUAAUUAUGCACCUAAAAUCUAAACCUCAUCAUACACAUAUGAUACAGCUAUUUCACAAUCAUGAACAUCACAACAUACGUAUGCUCAAUUAAUAAAAAUUAUCGUGACCAACAAUUCUAUUUAAUCCAUCUAUAUACCUAGUUGACUGAAAUAACGAAUCAUCUUACCAUCAUUAAAUACGACUUGAAACUACGAAAUCGACGACGUUGUCCGACUUGCGCAUAUCACCAAUACUUGACGAGCGUGGCACUGGUGCUUCCCUUUCGUCUUCCGGCGUGAACGCAAGGUGUGACAAGGCUGCUGAAACGAUGACGAUACCGGGGAUGCGGACGUUGAUGCCUCGGAGUCGGAUGUGGACACGACCACCAAACCCCGUGCGAGGACAAGGGAAGCCAGAGCGACAACGGCGCGACGACUUCGACGCUAAGCACCCGAGCUCGACGAUGUCGCGGCGCAACAGGAAAUAGUGACGCCAUGAUGGCCAGGGAGGCGUGGCUGGCGGUGCAAGGCGCUCAGCGCUAGGGCGAGACCGAGCAGUUGGAAGACGACGCAAAGAGCAGAGCUGGGCGUGCGCGUGGCCUGCGUCGAGCGAGCGUUGAUCGGAAAUGGUGAAAGACCGGGAAAACACAUGCAUAGAAUAAGGCUGGGAAUUUUCGCCUUAUCCGUUUUGGAGGGAUGAGAUGUUUUCUGGCCAAGGAAUUUUGCGUGUUGAGGGAGAUUUCCAUGAAGUUGCAUUGGCUAUUGGAGUGACACGAUGAAGAUGAC
This 65428-nucleotide long non-coding RNA is filed under the name Zea mays. Its description in RNAcentral is "long non-coding RNA (ZMAY_LNC000922)". Lineage: Eukaryota; Viridiplantae; Streptophyta; Magnoliopsida; Poales; Poaceae. The record is from RNAcentral.